CCCUCUGAAGAUCUACGAGCAACCUGAUUUACAAUCAGCCUGCUUAAGCCUAAGAUUGUAGGGGAGCACCCUGAUUUACAAUCAGCCUGAUCUACGAGCAACCUUUCUAUGUUAUUAGUAAAGCGCUAACGCCCUAUCUAUAGUAAGGGGCCUUUUCAAUAAGGCUCGCGUAGGGGCCUUUUUUGGCUCCCUUCGCUCCACUAGCCUUGAUUGGCGGAUGGAAGUACCAAGGUGCGUCUGGUGGUAUCGUAUAUAAGAUCACUGCUGCAUUUAGGAGUGAUCUGUUCAUCUAACUAUCAAUUUCAUAAUUAAAUAAAAGAAAGGUUGGGAAGUAAGACGUCCGGUUCACCAGGUUCUACCACUGCAGGGCCCAGUUGCCAUUCUCCCUUUACUAAAGUCGUCCAAGGGACAGGAUCCCAGGCUUUUGAAAUGCGGAUUUGGUCUAUCUUUAAGAAGCGGUGGUCAUACUAAAGUUUGGCUCCGCAUGGGGUGUCGCGGAAGCCCCACUCUCCACCUUAACAGGGGCCGACGGUCGAAUAGAUCGUUAGGAGAGGUUGUCAUCAUGACCGCUGAGGUUGUGGUGAUGGAAGCUGAUUCUUAACUGCUGAACAUGCAAAAGUUAUUUCGAUCGCUUCUUAGGAUAGCACUUAUUUUGAAACAACAAAUUCGAGUUCCUGGAUCGUGUAAAAUAAGAGUAGUACCAAAGGCAGCGAUUAUUAACUUUCUUCUUCGAUCUAUCGUUUUGGUCGCUCCUAUUUGUUUCGUACGAUCAGAAGGAAGCGCUAUAAUGACCACAGGUCAAAAUCUCGUGCUUUGUGCAAUACUGAUUUUUGGCUGGAUCUUUGUAUUUCGUUUUUUGUGUAUUCGUUUGAUACGAGCUUUCUACUUUUUUAAAAAAAUUUGUUGUUCUAUUUAUAUUUAUAUAUAUAUAAAUAUAUUUUUUGCUAUCAUCUACGCAUAUACCUUGUUUCUUGGUUAGGUCUCUGCCUUAGUGGGAUUCUAUCUACUUUUUUUUUUUAAUGUGUCGGAUGGGGAAAUAAUUCCCUAUUCCAGCCCAGCAAACUCCUCAUCGGAAGAUUCAUUCGGGCUCCAGGUCCUGUCGGAGCCUUGGCCCUUUACUCACAAUAUAGCGUUAGAGUCCUCCAUGAGAAAUAGGAUUUUGACAAUGGAAAAUACGAAUUGCAUUUUUCUCCUUGAUAAGGAUAGGGGGGAAUAUUGGGCAGAAGUCAAAAAUGCACUCGACAAUUGUUCCUCUCAAAAGGAAUAUAACCGAUUACUGGAAUUCGAGAAUAGGGAUCUCCAGAUCCGGGAGCUGAAACAUGAAUGUUAUUCCAUUUUUCAACAAAUGCUUACAGAUCAUCCCGCCUUGGCCGAAAAUGCCGCCUACACCCCCAACGAAGCCUUUAUCGACUUUUUAAAUGAGAAACGAAAUGAACUUGACCAAAAAGGAGGAAAUAUAUUAGUGAAGGACCAGAGAUAACUCAAAUUUGUGAAUGUACUUGCACACGAUCUACGAAGACAUGGCCCAAACUCCGCCUAUAUUAAAAUAAGACUUGGCGGAUGAAAAUAAAUAUGUAUAAAUCUUUUCGGUUGAAGUCGUGUACCAAUGUUUUACUUCUUUUUUUUUAUAAACAUGGGCCACCAUGUAUGGGAUAUCCAGAGUCAGAUUCAUCUGCAGCUCCUUCUUUCACACUUGGAUUGCAGCAUUCCGAUGCCAUUUAUUCUAUAAAAAUGUGUGUAAUGUGUGUGUAGUCUAUCUUCUCAUACAAGAGGAAAAGGAAGAGGACGAGGCCCCUAGCGAUAGGGGGAAAGAAGAGUGGGCAUGCGGGCUUCUUUCACUUUCGUUUUGGAGAGACUACUUUAUUCCAUUCCGACUCCCCUCGCUUCCUUAAGCCAUGCCCUUACUAAACCACCAAGAGCGGAAAAGAGAAGAGCGGAGUGGUGAACAAGAACUGCCUAUUCUAUUCCUGAUCUUCGAUUGCUUGCUUCAGAGCUUUUUUUUAGGGAAAUGCAAGCAUCACAGGGUUAUUCCUUCUCAAACCGGAAAGCAGCAGAUUCGUGAACAACAAGAGCUUCUGCUUCCUCCCCGACGGUCACUUCUCCUCCUCUUGUUCUUGGUCACAUGAAAGCAUCAAGAUCAACCAUUUAAACUAAAAAUGUCAUUGAACUCAAAAAUCAUUGAAUCUGGAAGUGACUUCGCUACACUUGUUUAUAUAAGGAAAUCCCAAAUCGAAGGUAAAAUCCCAGUCGACUACUGAUGACCCUAACAGGAUUUGCUUUUCUGCUGCCGAUCGAGGAAAGGCUUAGAAUCAAUGCUUUGACCGGUAAUGUCGAAUAUAAGAACGUAUUGUGCCUUCUCCGGUACCUUGCCAGAUGCUAUAAACUAAAAAAAUGGACUAUUGCAUUAUACAUAGACUGAUCUUAUGAAGAAGAAGGAAAGGAUUUGACGCCGACGCCACUCUAUCAUCUCGUCUCUCUUCGUUUACUGGUUGAGAAGAUCCUAACAAAGGGCCGGUGUUCGUUCAUUCAUCCUUUCACAAGACAAGAGUCAAGCACUGAAAAAGAUGAAUGACCGUACCGUACCGUAGGCUUAUCUGGUGGCCAAUGAGAUGAGAAUCUUACUUUGCUUGUUAACAGGAAUUAUGACCAAUCGAUGUAGCCGGCGGAACAAAGGAAACAGGAAUGAAAGAAGUUUUAGAGGAGGAUCUAAGUACCGAGAGGGAAAUGGAGCUCGAAUCAAUAUCAUUCUCCACGCACCCACCAUUCGUUAGCAACGACCUUACCACGCCCAGCCAUUUCACUAGAAUCUUUAAUAAGCAAUAUCCUUCGCAACUAGAGGUACUUGGUUGAGGCGGCUCAGUGAGACAGGGAAGGGGAAAAGGAAGAAGUAGUUUGGCUUCCAUUCCCGAGUGUUGGUUUGGAGUUGACCCAGUAGCAGGAGUUGAACACAGCUGAUAUUGAUCCGCUGCUACAUCCGCUGAAAGAUCUGUUGCCAGUUCCGAUCGAUGGGAUAGGCGUGAAGGCCCAUCAUUCCGGGUCCUUAAAAGAAGAAAGAGUUAUCGGAGUGCUUAGAGCACUUACAGCUGUUAAAGCUGUUAAAGCUUUAGGUUAAAUAGAAGAAAAAGCCAGAAGCUAUAUGCUUAACACUUAGGGGUCGGAAGCAGUGGCAGGGCAAAGGACGAGUGGAGAUUAGGGUAUAAUCAGGAUAUUCCACUGGAUAGGUAAACCCAUUUAUAGUUUGUUUUAAAAAUAGGGGACUUUUUCAUUUGGUGGCACAACCUGUCCUCAUUCUAUAUCUCCAUGUUAGACCGACUCUCCGAAUGAAGAGAUCUUGUUUGUUGCAGAAGAAGACGUUGUUCCGAUGCCAGAGUAACGAUUUGUAGCAGUAGAAGGAAGGUACUGAUUGUUCGAACAAGCUAGUAUGUCGCUUAUCCGCUGUUAGGAAGGGAAGGUAGGUAAAUAAGAGGCGGAUCUAGGGAGUCUUUACUUCUUCGACUUCUUAUUCUUAGUCUUCGAGGCCUAGGUUAUCUGCAAUCGGGGUGGUUUACCGAGAUCAGAUGGGAGGGUAUCACCACGCAAUGGUCGAAUGGACUCGUAGGGACGAACUGACGCUGUUCGCUCACACUCAAGGCUAUCGCCUACGCUGCAUUCUAGGGUCAAUUUCCAGACAAUGUCAGCUAACUGUCCUUGUCCUUAAUUCCACCCUUUCUACCUAUCCCGGGGUACUAUUAAGGUAGGUAGAGUAGUGAAGCAGUAGACUACAUCUCUACGUGAAUUCGUUGACGUAAUGCCCUAAGUAAGAUUGCUAGUUGUACGGUAGCUUUAGAGCACUUAACGCUAAGGAAAAAAUAGACUAGAGAACCAGAUGAUUCGGUCCAUCUCCGAUCGGAGUGCUUUAAUCGUCUGAUGGCAUACUUCCUAUACUUGUUGAAUCUUCCGAGCUGACCGGCAUAAAGGCGAAAGCUUUAGCUGAAUAAUAAUGAAUUCAUUCGAGAGAUGCUUACAGGACUAUCACACCAGUUGCAGUUACUAUGACCUUCUUCUCCUAGGGUCUUUCACUGGUCAGGCGAAUUGCCAGUAACAGCAAUCUGAAUGGUUAAAGCACCCAAUCAUUGACUGGUUAUUGUAGGGUUAAAGGGCCUAUCUAUUGUAUUGGUGGGGUUAGUUAUCCAAGUGGUCAAAUGCGUCUAAUAGAAUGGGUAAAGAAAGAGUAGCAGCUGCAAGAGAUUCUACAGUUGGGAUUUUAGGAUUAACCUGAACCAAACCAACCCUAAAUGGAAAAACUUGGAACCUCCAACUCUCUUCUUUGAGGAUAGCUCCCCUCUUCUAUUCCGGACGGGGUUUCUUAUUAGAUAUAUAUAAAUAAAUAAAUAUAUAUAUAUAUAUUUAUUUAUAUAUAUAAUAUAUAUAUAAUAUAUAUUUAUUUAUAAAGAUAUAUAAAAAUAGAAUAUAUAUCUAAUAGAGUCUCACUCAAUAUUCAAAGGAUCUUUCAUUGAUCAGAAGGUGUUGUUUCUUUCCAUCCCUAGGUUGCGGUUUAGAAGCACUUCAUAGUUUGUUAUCCGGAACUCCAUUCUAAGGAUGUAGCUGCUGAAUAUCCAAUAGUUGACUUAAGAAAAGUUCUCGGACAUUAUUUUCAAAGAGAAAGUUUGAGCUAUUUUUAAAGAGUAGAGUGGGUUGAGUUGGGAAGCGUCUUUCUUGAGCUUAGCAAGCGGAAGGGGUUUCAUCGGAGAGCAAACUCCCGAGAUAUUAGUGGCUUGAUGAACUAUCCCAUUUUUUAAGAUUUUUUUUUUCGUAUGAAACAGAUCAGCUGGUCCGAAUCAAUAGAAUCUGGAGUUGUUCGGAUGAUUGCCCCUGCUGGGAAUCGAUUCAUGCCAAAACGGGACUUCUUCACUUGUCAGUCGCCCGGGGCGCUUCUUUUUUUAUUUUCUUUAUCCCCUUUUUUGAUGGUCUCGAACCUGCUGAAUUAGCAUGCGUUGACCACUUUAUCUUGAGAGGGGCAUUGUAUACCUUUCUUCAACCCUCGCACUAAGGGGGCGCAGCUAGAAAAAGAAACCAGAUGGUUAGAAGUAAAGGCCGAACGUAGGUGCUACACCGAGAUUUAAUAGCAUACCAGACAUUAUGGUAAUCACGAGAAUCCCUAGGUUUCAGUCCUAAGCUCCAGCCUUUGUGGAUCUAGUAGGGGCUUCCGUCCCGUCCCGAACGGAUGAGAUAAUCGAAGUCUUUUCCCGCGUCAGCGGGAGGAUGUUAGUGGUCAAAGAUCUCAGAGUUUGAAACUGACACACUAGAAACCUAAAAAGAAAAGUGAUCCUCAAUCUUUUUAUUGCUGGAGACACGGAUUAGUCUUCAAUAAUUGGUUAAUCACAGCGAGCGGCUCUCUGGCCGUUAUCAGACUAAACCAACCAGAUGUCUUCGCAAGCAAAAGAAGAGUUGUCGCUAUUUCUGUCCACCAGUUACCAGGGUAUCUAUCUAUACUGAAUACUCAUACUCGAUCCUUAACCGAUGCCGCGGGGCAGACGAAGAAUGAUUGUAUAUAAAAAAAUUCGAGAAAGAAUCUCUGCUCCCUCUUCCCUGCGUAUGCUCCCUUCUUCACCGCCGCCCGUUCUUUCUUCACCGCCACGCAAGGAGUCCCAUUCUGCAAGGAUAGUCGUGGUUAGAAUCACAAGCACAUAAUGUAGCUAAAAUCACGAGUAUAAUCAUAGCUAAAAAGGCUCGCCCUUCUGUUGGAGCAGCUGCUCUCCGAGUCGCGGAGAUAUCGUAUUUCUGAAUAGUUACCUCGUUCCAUUCACCACAAGGCAUCCGUCUUCCUAACUUCAUCAAUCUUGUCCCUCCGAAGCCUUGCUCUAUCAAAACGAUUGCUAGAAGAGUCGAUCACUAAACCCUUACAUAACCAUAACAUAGGUGGCUUAAUAACCUUUGCAUAGAGCCGCACUUGAAAGAAAGGAUACAUCUGAGCUAAUUUAAUUGAAAUUCUUGUGCGUAUCGCGAUGCUCCUUGCUUUUGCCGAGGGGUUCGUCUUGGCUUUGUCUGGUAAGUUGCGAUGGCUUCAGGACACAUUCUUUCGAAGAAAAUGACAUGGAUAACUAGGGAACCACUACAAUAGGAAAUAACGGAUCUAUUCACUUAAGUUGAAAAAGCUGCUUCAUGGAUAUCUACCUAGGGAAGGUCGAAAGCUGAAGGAAGUCUAAAAGAAAUAAGAUCGUGCUUCGUCUUCGUUUACUACACCGGCAAUAGGAUCGUCUCGUCGAGUAUGAAAUGAAUAGUAGCAACCAACGGUGUGAAAGCGUCCGUUAACUAAUAGGUAUAGGUAGGUGUAAUAUGUUAUAGCUGGCUGCUCCGGAGCUGUAGCAAAAGGCUUAUUGCUUAUCAAAUAAAGUGAUUGAACUAUCUUACUUGGGCGGAUGGGUAGAAAGAGGCGACUUACGACACCUCUGUUAAGGGAGAAACUUUCCUAUGUAGAUGUUGCACAUCAGAAGAAUCCGAGCGCUUGCUAGUAGUUUAAUUGGCACGUUUUAGACAUCAGAACAAGAAAUCUCGUGAUUGAUGGUUGGUCUUUCUCUCGAUAAAAGGCAAUGCAUAGACUGUGGUACUAGUCAAGCAUGAAAAAUGCAAUCGUUAUAAAGUGGCUCUGAACGAUUCAGAUUGUGUUGACCAUAUAAGGAAUAAUAAAGUAAAGAAAGAAGACUAAGCUAGUCCGCUUGUGUAUGUUUAUGUCAGUCCCUUGAUCUAUCAUGAAUCGCGAAUGAAGAUGUACCCCGGUAAUUGAAGAGCCGCCCUUCUCUUUCUUUUAGUUCCGACAGCUCUAGAAGAGGGGCUUGGGUUUAAUUCGAGGUAGUUGGUAGUUGGGACAAAUCUAGAUUGAGCCUCUGUUCCUUUUUGGUGUCUCAAAAUGGCAUACAUAAAGGUGUCUGUCAUGGCUAAACAGAAAAAGGAGAGAGAGUGCUUCUAUCAUCACAUCAUUAGCAAGAAAUGGGCGUUGGAACAAGUCUUCCUUGAAUUCUCAGUUAGAGCAUCCUCCUUUUCUGCAACAGCGAGAAAGCAAGCUUUAAGGGUGAAUUCGCCUUGGCGAACUUUAAAAAGACAUACCAAAAAAUCUCGAUGAAAAUAGUUCCGUCUUAGGUUGUACCUUCUAUGGGCUAGUCUGUCACUACCAAAGUUAUAGUCAAGAUUGGGCGGAGGAUCAAAGAUCCCCAUUUUGGGUUCGAACAUUGUCUUUUCCAAGGGUAUAGAAGCUGCUGAUGAUGAAGAAAAACUCUCAAUCCUGGUUCGAGGCUAUGCUGCUUCUAAGCUCUCCUCACUUUCACGGCAAGAAGGCCAUAGCAGCGUUUGGGGCUGCAGGAUCUUUAAAGUAGGUUCGACCGCAUGCUAAAGAGGAACGACAGACGGAUCAGAGCAACGGAUAAGCAGACGGGCGGGGCCCUGAAAUCUAUAGAUUGAAUAGCACUACUAACAAAGAAGCCGCUGGGAACCAAUAAUAUGAAAGAUAAAAGAUUGAGAUCUGAUUCACCUAGAAAAAGAAAGGUCGAUGCAAUUGAUAAAAUCCAAAGCAGACAAUGAAUCCAGAGGGGUCAAAGAUCUCCGAAACACUUGUUCAGUGAUUCGGCUCCAGAUGGAAUCUUCGCAUAUUUAUCUUAAUAAGUCAGUGGUUCGGAUGGAAAUGAUACUGAAACCACUUCCAAAGACUCAGCGAUAGGGUAGGGCGUAGUGACUACUCAGAUGAAAGCUUCGGAGGAAGCAUGGUGUUAAACGAGGUUAGAAGCGGGUUCUUUGCUUCAUAUUCAUUCAGUCAUCGCCCACUUCGUAUUCUUUAUGGUUGAGUUUGUUCCACCUUCUUAGAAUGUGGAGGCACUCCUGGGUAUCCCAAUUAGAAGAGAUGUUUAUUCACUUUUAGCUUGUAAAGCCGGCUUCUUUCAUAGCUGGAUCCUAGGUUGCAACUUUAGAGAAAGACUGAAUUCUGUAAUAGGAGGAGACCACCCCUUUUUCCAUUUGCAGAUCAAAAAGAAGAUGCUCGGGGUUCGAUAGCAUUACCAUUUAUACAGACCACCAAAAGAGAGUAUAGAAGGGGGAUCCUCCUUACGAAGAAAAAGAAAAUGAGACAUUGAUUCCAGCCAGGAAUGAACUGUCAAUCCAAGCUAGCUCAGGUCGUAAUAGCCAGUUCAGCCAGUUCGGUACGAGAUAUUCAGGUGUGAGCGCUGCGCUAAGGUAGCUUGCUUGCGAUCAACCAAAUCGAGAGAGAAGUAGGUAGUUGACCAGGGCCCCUUAGAUUCGACCGGUGGGUGAGGGAAAGAUGAAAGAAAUUGAGACGCAUAUGGGAGAGGUAGCUCUUCCUUUUACCAUUCAUAUUUCAGCUGAUGAUACACCAUAAGAAGAGGGGUAGUGAACUACUCAUGGUGCAAUUUUUAAUACACUUUGUGUCUUUUUAAUGAUGGGAAAGAAGGCUCCAGGUCUCAUUUCUUAGAAAAGUGCUUUUUGAGAGUUCCACCGUGAUAGAUAUAGUUUAUGACUCGGCCAUAGGCAGAAAAGCGGGUUGAAGGAGAUCAUGUUACGUAUUCGAAUUAAGGGAGGGUCGUCGUACCUACUAUGAAUAGAGAAAACUUUCACCAUUGCACUCACUAGCAGCCCAGGUCUUUCCAUUCCUAAUGUGGAUGUUGUGGAAUUCUCUACUGGUUCUCGUCCACUUACCGUUGACCUCGCCUCCCACUACAGCAGUAGCGCUGGCAUGUAAUAAGUUUCUGAUCCAACUUCUCCUAAUGGGAGGCAUUCCGAUACCAUAGCAUGAACCGAAAAGCAAACUCUUCCUCUCGAAAACGAGCUAGCAUAGACCACUUGCUUCAAAGCUCAAGGUUCUUCUAUAGAAAAUCUAUAGAAAGGUCGGCUGUUUCACUCUCAGCGAGUCGGGAUAUAUUUGCGGUCAUCACAUCAGGAACGGUUUGUUUCGGGAACUAGUGCAAUAAAUAAAUACAAUCCGCUUGCCUCUUUUAAUGAAGAAGGGUUGGUUUAAUUGAUAGCUACUUUUUGGAAUUGGGAGUCCUCUGGAUUGCUCUUCUCUUAUGCCCCGGAGUGGCGAGAAUACGAAGCUAGAUCAGCAGGAAUGACAGCGGUCUCGGGAAUCUACUCUACUAGUUGCAACGCGUGUUCUUGUCAGCAUUGGGAAUAGAGCAUUGCUUAUAUAUGCAGGACGGGAAAGUUUCUUUUAGUCUAACCUUCGCAUGAGCUUUUCUUGUUCUUGACUUCAAAUUAAUUGGAAUUGCCUUCUCGUUUUAGCUUAUAUUAAGUGCACCUCUCCCUACUUGAUGAUUCUUUAUGGACACUCGUUUCUUCAUCUAGGCAGGGAUCAGAAGCUGAGAGAUAGCCGUAAACUCUGAAGUGGUAGCUUUUUAUCUACUUUCUUUCUUUAAAGGCGUACAUCCAGUCCAAGCAGUUGCUCCCAGCUAGCGGAAAAGGUGAAUGUGAAUUCAUUUUUAUUAAAAAGAUGCUAUUUAAGCAUCAAGAUUGUGUUGGUGUUCAGUCAGCUGUACUAAAUGCAGAUUUGGAUGCCUCGUAUGAUAAAGAAGAGAGUUUUUACAAAGAUGAAGACCUAGAAAGCCCUAGAGCUAGAGCUUGUUGAGAAAGUUGCUUUGAAGAUGGGCUUCCUAUGGGAAAGAGGGAAGUUUAAAGCGAUAACAAAGGCCGUAGGGGAUAGGAUGUCUUUCUGCGUCUACUGAUGCUAAUUCGGAUGCUUUUGAAACAGCCUUGGCUAUCGGUCAUGUUCUCGAUCCUCGUUCCCACUCCCAUCUCCAGCUCACGCUCCUUUGGCACCAUACCCCGCCUUCUGAAUAACAAAUCACACCUUUUCUAAAGGCUCAAUUUGGCUAGUGGUGGGCAACACCCAAAAGGCAUGGCUUAGUAGUUUUAGGCUCCUCCCUUUCGCGAAGCCUAUCCUUGGGCUUUUCUCUCUUGCUCAUGCUCCCUAUCUCGAUCCAUAUCGGGCUCUCAAUCUCGAUCUUGACCAGUAUUCGCACCCCGAAUCCUCCACCAUUCCUGGAGGUUCCUAUUCAUAUCUAUAUUUUAUAUUUGGUGUUGAUGUCGUUAAUUGGGGCGGAGAAACAUGGGUUGGUUUAUCUAGCCCGAUAGCAGAAACCAUUAAUACGGGGCACUGCGUGGCUUAAAAGGCUCUAUUUUAACAAUGAAUGGAAUGGUUGUCAUCCCCCCGCUUCCAGAAGUUUUGGAUGGCUAAUCAGUUGUGGUUCCUUAUUCUUAAUUUCACUCUCACGGAAUGAGGGGGGGCCACCCAUUGCUGCGUUGGAGGCCUUCCGGACGCUAGCUUUAUUUAAAGCCUAACCUAUCAAGGAAGGCCUUUUUAUUAGCAAGGAAAAGUACUCGCCAGAGAACGUUGUCGAGAGAGAGCGUAGGAUGGAAAUGGGAGAGAGAAUCGGAAUUAAAGGUAUAGAUCAGAUCGAGCCCGAGAUGCGGAUCAUGAGCACAAUAAAGAGCAGCCAAGAUAUGAAAUGGAUAUGCAAUGAGGGAGCGCUAGCCCCAAGGGUAAGAGAAAGUCUAGCUACCCGAGCUGUCAUGAGUUCCUAAACUUUAUGAAUCAAUCGCCUAAACUCAAAAACGGAGUGGAUCUGAGCCCCCCUCUUAAGGGGUGGGGGGCCGAGGCAGGUAAGAAAGGUAUUAAAGCCAAACGACUUUCAAUUAAGGGCAAGCGGGACUCGAACCCAGCAAGCAACGGACCAGCCAAGAAACGGGGCAGUGCGGUUGUGCGGUAGUCUUGUCUUUUAGUUAUAUGUAUUAAAGCAAGCAACAGUACGCUAGCGCGAAAGCGUUGCUUUCUUGCUCGGUAGUGCGGUAGUGCGAGCCAGCACCCCUUUUUACUACAAUACAACUAACUAGUUAUACACAAUUGUGGUUCGUGCGUCGGUACUUUUCUGUAAUCCUUGCGAGCUCUAACCCGUUUUACCUCUUUUAUAUGGUGCAAUAAGCCUCUUUCUAGAUGCCUAUAUUCUAUACAAAACCCUUAAUUCAUGACUUUCACUCUUUCUUGUUGGUGGGUCACUGGACCCUUUGGAAGCUACAGAACUUGGAGAUCCCUGGACCUUACUUAAUAAAAUAGGAUUUCGAAUACGAAGCUUUAGCGCCGAAAGGCCUAACGUUUUUCAGUUGGGGUCCGGCUUUUAGGUGGAUUGCCUACUUUGAUACUAAUUAUUAAGGGAAUCAGUCCGGUCCCACUAACGGAACAAGAACACAUUAGCGUAUGAAACAGAGCUGAAAGCGCGAGUGCACGAUCUCAAAAGCGGCAAGUUCACGUUCCGCUUCCUCAAUCUCGAACUCUGGCUAUUGGGAUGAGCUCCCCUUACCUGCGCUAUUCUAUGAACGAACACGCCAGAGGAACUCCCGUACCGGACUCGCUCACAUACCUGGAUUGGGCCCCUCCCCCUCCGAGGCCGGUUCACUAACUAGACCUGAUGCCCUCAGGAUCGGUCGUUUCACUUGAUAAAUGUCCAAAAUAACUAAUCACUAUUUUACUGCUUUUAUUUUAGGGUGCGAAGCAGAUCGACCUUAAGGGAACUUCAUUUCAUAUCAGGAAAGAGAGGAGCUGCUCCCAUACUUGACAAGCUCCCUAGCUCCCCUUCCCAUACAGUAACACAGGUAGAGGAGUAAUAAAUCUCCCUUGUUGCUAUGUGCCCGACCCACCGCUUAGAAGAAAAUUUCAAGCAUAAAAUAUGACGUUUUAUCGGUAUAGGCCAUUGAGUGAGUGGAAGGGCUUUCCUAUUUGGCUGAAAAAGCCUGUUCGUUAUCCAUAUUGAUCUUUUUCCACCCGCCACCCCUUGGCUUUGGCUUUAAGCUUCAUCCGCCGCAGAUGAAGUAGAUGAGGCAAGGGCCGUGGUGUGCGCUGACGGAUCAUGUAAUUGCGUAUAUGACGAUUGCUGUGAGAUUUGAGAGUUCCAUUGUCCGGUCUCUCAAAGGAAGAAAGAUGGGAAUGUCAAACAAAGGAAUCGAGAGAUGAGUAGUUCCUUUGAUGAGGGGCCCCUGGUCAGGAAGAGCAAACAGGAGUAGUUGAAAAAGACUACCACGUGCUGGUAUUGUUACGACUCACUUGGGACAUUCCAUCUUGAUACGUGGCCGGGCUGGGCUGCUACUAGUAGGCUUCGCCGCUACGGGAAUUUCCUUGAGGAAGAAAGAAAGGCAGUGACCUCUGUUUCAGUCGACAUCAGCUAUGGUGACCGAGCCAGUGCCAGUUGACUCAGGAUCGACGAAUCCCACAGGAACUGUCUCAGAGACAGCUACUUCGACUUCUCUACCUUCAGUUCCACCAGGUUUUGCCGCCUCCGGGCCGGCGACAACCACCGAGGAGGCGCCCACGUACUCUCCUACGGAUGUCAUGAACUACCUGCGAGGUAUGAAUGGCAAGAUUGAGAAUAUUGUUACUGAGAUGCAGUCGAUUAGAACGACCGUGACCACUCAAGGAGGGCCGCGGUAGGACAAUCUUGAAGUGUUGCAAGGACGGAGUUCUCCCACUCCAGCGGCUUUUGAAAGUUGGCUGCAGGCUCCACCUUCGAAGGCGACAGGGCCUUCACUACAACCAGGAGUUCCGGUCCAUUCCGUAGCUCCGACAUCCCAACACGCUGAGGGUUCCUCUUCAAAGGUUUACCCUCAACCUCCUAAAGUCCAGAAAGAGCUUUCUUCCCCGCCCUAACCCCCAUUCAUGAGGGGCUUGACUCAACGGAUCUCUGUGGCCCUUGAAAGAGCCGGCCCAGGAGCCUACGUUUUGGCGUCCGCUUCAAAGUAGACUUGAGUCUUUUCCUCUUCCCUUACCUAUUGACUUUAGUAAAAAAAACCGGAAACUGGGGACUUUCUAAAACAUUGCAAAAAAGCCCAAUCUUUAAGCGGAGAACACGACCUAACGACCAUUUUCUUUAGUCUUCUCUGGUGUCGGCCACAGUCCAAGAAGUAGUCUUUUCUGGCUAAGAAGAAGAAGUGGUCUUUUCCCAUUUGCUAGCAACAAGAAGUAGGGAUUCGGCGCUUAUAAUGAGAUAGAUAAAUCACGCGGACUCAGGCUAGCAAAGAAGACUUCUAGUCGAUCCGGGACUGAAGUGCAAAGACAAAGGAAUAUGGUAGAAGGAGUACAACAAGAAAUCAAAGGAUUGCAGGCUAGAUUCGAGGUAUGCCAAAACAAAGGUAUGCUAGUUGAUUGAUUUCACUCUAUUUUACAGAUUGGGUGGGUGUUCAGUCAGAUGUACUAAAUGCAUUGCUGGGGAACGCAAGUUUGCUCGAGGAUUGGGGGUGGGUUCUUUACUUUUUUUCCGGUAUACCGCUCCGCGAGCAAGGAGCGAAUGAACAUAAGACCUAAUCUCAUGAAUAUCCUUCGCCCGUUAUCUCCUCAUCUUCCUAGAAAAAAUAUCCUUCGCCCGUUAUCUCCUCAUCUUCCUAUUUAUAAGCCACAGCUCACUUCGACGUUUCCAAUUUACCAUAGAAUAUCCGGGGCUUUCCUAGCCACUCUAGUUUUGUUUUUUUAUCUUCUUUGUGACCCAUUUGGGGUUUGGGACUCUUUUCUGUCCGUAGGUUCCCAAGUCUCCCUCCGUUUGGGGGGUCGAGCCCUCUCCUUCUUUCUCAUCAAAAUGGGCUGCUCCGGGGGUCUUUUUUCUCGUCCUUUGGAAGUAGAAGGGCGAGCACAAGUUUGAUAUCCAGGGUAGAGGCGGGAAAGCCAAUGGCAAGACUCGACUUCCAAUCCGGUAUAGUUUCUAUUUGAUUCCUCAAAAAUUCCCUACCCCCAUACCAUACUAUAGUGACUUACUUGCUGGGAAACCCUUGCUACUGGCACUGGGAUGCGAGACCGGCUAUCAUAUACGGCCAACCCUUCGAAUUGCUUUGCUUUGCACUAGAAAAAAGUCUUAAAAUAGAAAGCUCGAGCUUCUCAUCCAAGCUUGCCGAUAGAUAUAGUCACGUUCACUAUGAAAGUAAAAACUUGAACUUGGGACUGAGACUACUGAGACUUGCUACAAUAUAAGGCAACCUAUCUUCUUAGGGCUUAAAACUAGCUACUGACGAAAGGAGUUCCAUACGUUCCUUUCCACGAGCAAUAGAGCUGAGGAUAAGAUAAGUUCUUUAAAGCCAAAAAUCAAACCAUAAAUAAAAUUAGCAGGGUUGUGAAGGGUAUGCCCCAGCUCUUUUUAAAGUGGAUCCCCUCCAUGCAGUAAGGUCAGAUAAGAUUGUUUUGAGUUGGACAUGUGGUUGCCACCCACGGGUUAGCCGCGUGUUAAUGUUCAUAAUAUUUUAUAGCUAUAAAAAACGCCAUAGUUUAAAGCUUACCAGUACCCUUAUAGUUCAAUAGUUCAAGUUAGGGUUUGGGAAAGAGCCCGAAUGUUUUGUCUGAUUCGAUAGCCAAUCCGGAUGUUUUCGAAAGCCUGUAUAGGUCUCUUUAAGGUAUAAGGUAUAGCUCAUAAAGCCCUCUUACUAGUUCAUAAGUUCCAGCACCAGAAAGAGAAAAGGUUUCUGAUGAAUUAUCUUCUUAGGGCUUCCACUGAAUAUAGUGUGGAAGGCAAGAAAGCCAGUCCGAAAGGAGAUUUCUUCGCUGCCCUAACGCGUGUUCUCUUGCGAGAGUCCCGUUGGAAGGCUUUCAAGCGCCUUGUAUAGUAAGGCUCCUCUCUGAUAAGAUUUUGGAUGUCCGGGAAUCCAGUUUCUUCCAUUUCCUGUUUGGACUUUACAGGAAAGUGAUAAAAGAAAGAGAAAGGUAUAUGCGCCAUUGAAAGAGACAGUUGUUCGCUCGUCACAAGCCCGGUAAAGAAGAAGCUACAACAACAAUCAGAAAAAUUCCGGUAACUCCGAUUCCCGGUGUAUAAUUUGCAAAAGGUACAAUCAUACCUCAAAAGAUUGAAAAUUUAGAUGCAAAAGAUGCCUAGAACCUGGCCUGCGACUCUAACGAGGAUUUGCAAAAUCAGAUGCUAGAUGGAUAAGACUUUGGAAAAUGCAACUCCCCGAGACCUAAGGUUCCUCUGGCUGGUAAGACAUGAAAGACUUCAUUCUAAUCAACUCAGGGCCCUCCUUGAGGACUGCAAAUUCCUUUUGCAAACGGUUAAGGGAACAGCUUCGCACACCUUGAGAGAAGCCAACGCAUGUGCGGAUUUCCUAGCAAAUGAAGGCCAAAAGCAAAAGUCUUGUGGUUCUCCAACAACUCCUGCGUGAAAUGGAGUUUCUGCUGAUGGCAGACUACUCAGGAGUGGCCGACCUAGUUUUUUGUUUUUUCCUUUUCCUAUGUACCGCCCUAUGUACCGCACCUUAAAGGAGGAAGUCCUUUUCCUUUCAGCAUGCUCCGCGCCAUCUCCACAAUGGUUCGGUUCUUCCGUUCGGCUACGCCAUUUUGUUGAGAAGUACCUGGACAAGACAAGUGAGGUAACGUGCCAUGUUGUUUGAGAAUGGUCUCAAAAUCAUCAUAAGUGUAUUCACGAGCAUUGUCAGAACGAAAGAUUUGAAUCUAUUUAUAAAAAGGAGCCCUUUAAAUAAAUAAAUAAAUAAAUAAAUAAAUAAAUAAAUAAAUAAAUAAAUAAAUAAAUAAAUAAAUAAAUAAAUAAAUAAAUAAAUAAAUAGGCCUUUUGGUUAAUUUAUCGAAAAAUAGAAAGUAGUUCGGAACCUGACUUCAUGAGAAAAAUCCAAGUGUUUCUAUAAAAAUCGUAAAUAAAAAUGACAAAGUAACGAGAUCCCCCCAUAGUAGUAGAUACAGGAGCAGGGCCCCACACAUCAGAAUGAACCAAAUCAAAUGGAGCAUGAGCGAAAGAUUCACUAUUAUGAAAAGGUCAAGCUGGUUGUUUCGCAAGUUGCUUAUCUAUCUUACUUAGCCUAACCCUCUCUCGAGAAAGCAUUGUCUAUAUUGACUUGAGAGCCUUUCUUCUGUCACAACAAUAAAGGGUAACUUCGGGCUUUCAAGCCGGCACGGGCGGACUCCCUAUACCGUCCCAUGAGCAUGACAUUCUCCCCCACUUUAGUAAUGAGUAAUGAGGCUAUCUUCUUUUCCUAACCGGACAACUGCCAAAUGCAAAAGGGUUAGGCGAGAUGACUUGACUGAACCGAGCCUACUUUUACUAAAAAAAUCCUUCUUUAAUUAACAUUACCCACUUGCUAACACUGGAGGCCUUAGCAGGGCUUUCAGAAACAGGGCCAUACUCUCGCUCGGGCAUAGAAACUUGCUGGACAAGAGAGGAAAGGAAAUGGGUUGUGGGGUCGCGGUGAAUUGAGCUCUCCCGAUCCAUUGAUCUGCACCUGCGGGUAGAGAAUUUGCAACCAACUUGCUGGCAUUAUAAAAGAGUCAAAGUAAAGAAUAGCACCAACCAAAUGGAAUAAGCUACUAUCACGGGAACUAUACGGGCUAUAGCCCUCACCUCCUUCGAGCCUACCCGAGACUUCCUCUAUAAACCAUAGAACUGGAACAAUCACUGUUCCAGGGUCUGUCUCAGAGUUCUAUCUCGUGCUUGACAUCAAUUACAUCCAAACCUUCAAUCGGGUAUACUUUCCACAAUAACAGGCGAGUCAUAGUUAGGUAAAAGUUAUACAGAAAGAUGACAUCGCUGGCGAACUUGAAGCUAGUUAGGUAGAUCCCCGCCAAGUGUUGACACCGGAUUAGGAAAUUUCUUUCUUUCUUUGAAGGACUCAGCUCCAAUUCCUCUUAGAGAUCCUCUCUUUGCCUUUUUGGUUUCUUGCUUACCUACCUUCUGCCUUUCCGCACCGCUCCCUGGGCCUUAGCAGUACGAAGAGUCUAGAGCGGGCAGAAGCUCGGCGUGGUAUUCAUUCUACCGGGAGAAUCGGAAUUCUUUCUUGAAGAAGAAAAGAAGAACUAGGGUAUAGGGGCAGAGAAGAAGGAGCUAUUUCAUCCCUUGUUGAAAGGCUAUCCAUUCUUUCUUAUUGAUUGGUGAGAACAUCCAUCCGGCUAGCUGAACGAGGCUGUGAACGAAUCUCUGUGGUGCAGAUGAAUAGAAUAAGCCAAGCCCUGCUUUUGAUCUUUUAGCCUUAUCCGCUCUUGAAUGGCUAACUCUCCUACAGCACCUAGUUCUUUUUCACCCUUCUAGUUAAUAGGAGUGAAAGCAUCUUCAUCCUAAUAAUCUUCAUACGUUGUGGGAGUAAGGGCCAUUAGGAAAGGAAAAUGAACCGCAGCUAUUGAAGCAGUUGGAGGCAGGGCUAAACGAGAGGUUGACUCAGCUGCGAUUGCUCAAGUUGAAUUAGCUUCCAAUCCUAGCAUACUUUAGUCAGCAUUCCCAAGGCACCAGCAUAAUCCGAGUGCUUACUCUCCACUCGCUAAGCAGUGAGAUCUACUUUUUAAGAGAUAGGGCUCAAUGCGUCUAAUGAAGGGAUUUGAAGCUAGAGGAGAGCAAGGGAAGAGAUCGAAGCUAAGCAGAUCGCUUACAGGCCUUUCUCCACAGGAGCAUCAUCAAUCUUAGGGGUCACCCUCUGGCCUUGAUUCAGGCGAUUGACCCUUAGCAGCACAGGGUUGAAGACGGAUAGCCGCCUUUAAAAAAAGGCUUUAGACCAUCGCGGAAGAGUUCAAUUAGAGUCUAACAGACCCUACAUCUUAAGUCUUCAUGCCCAAGUGUGUUAUCGUAAGGGGAUCUGGUUGCUCAUGCCUCUGUGGAGCUAAUAAAGUGGGUUCAUCGACAUCCGAAAGACGGAUUGGACGAGUGCUUGUACCGAGCCGAGCGUGGGGCUCAUCACCGCCCUUGCUUUAGACGUAUAGAAGGAGUACUUCUCACGAAAUGACUUGCAGUGGCACUGAGAAAGAGAAAGAAGGAUGAGUGAGGAAUUGGCUUUUGCUCCUUGGAACUUGGAAGGGAUCUCGAUUGAAUGAAUGCGCAUGACUCGUACUCGCUUGUACCACCUUGGUAGCUGCGAAUGAGUCAACCACGGAAAAGAGAGUUUCAGUUUCAGAGAGAUCGGACAGGAGAAAGAGUAAGAGUAAAUCAGUAGAUUAGGUACCUUCAGUCGAGGAUUUAUAAUUACACAUAUCAGCUCAACCAGUUGGAAUAUCCCUUGAUCUCGUAUCCGUUGGUCAAGAUUAGGAAAGUUUUCAAUAACCCAGUGCUAGUGAAAUUGAAUCAGCUCUUUUCUUUCUCAUCUAAGAUGCGCCUGCUUUUCUCUUUGUCUCCUUUCGCCUAGGACUACCUCGCUUAACUAUUAGGUAGUUGAAUUGGAACCAUAAUCCAAAUAUAAAUAGUUAGAUUUACUAAAAAAGACCACCGGCACUGAAAUCAUUAACAGCAGGUUAUCUUCCCCGCCUUGAAGAAAUAUAUAGAGAAAGAGAGACCGAUGCUUUGAUUUACCUAGCCGGCUUCCCAAGUCGCUUGCUUAAGGUGGUUCGUCUGACCAAGAAAGAAAGUCCAAGAGGAAUGGGAGAUUUUGCCAGUAGAUCUGAUUUCGCGAGAUGCGAUCCAAAAUAGGAGACUGGAUGCCGAAGCUUUAUAAUAUAAUAAUAAUGUCGAAUAGAAGACCAUGGAAGUAAUGAUAAGAGAAAAGAUCACAUAGCGUGCAAUUGAAAGAAGGGCUUAAGACAAGAUUGUGCUAAAUCAACUAUCGAAUAGAACCUUCGUCCGGUUCACCGGUCGGUAAGCGAACUUCAAGAUUUGAAUAAUUUGCUUUUCUCGUCCACAAAUAAGAGUUAAUUAACCUAGUGAAGCCUAGAAGGAUUCUCUUGAGUCAUUGUAUAUGAAUAAAGAAAUAAGUAGUUUAAAUAGUACGAAAACCCCCGGCCCGGAUGAGUUCGGCAUAGCUCAUACAUUAAGCAAGUUUUAGGAAGAUUGCCAUGUGCUCAUAGAUCGUCAUUACUCGGUGACGGAUCUCCGAUCUUUUAUCGGAAAGGCUCCGGGCGCUACUGUCUCUAUUUCUGUUACCCAUGUUCACAUUGGUGCUUCUUCCGACUCAGCCUCUGUCCCGACCUCCGGGUCUCGGUCUCCAAGAAGCGGAGGGCUAAGCCACGGGAACUUGAAGUGCUUUAACAAGAUCCAAUGGUGCUGGUUCACUAGCGUCAUCAGCUGGCUCUGCAACUUUCACUUCCAACCGGAUACCCAGCAAUAGUCUAUACCGCCUCUUCUUCCUCUUCCGCUGCAGUGGGAUCAAAAAGGGAUUUCGAUCUCGAUGUGCUGCUAGCGCUAGAGUUAGGAAGACAAGGAGUUAGUUUACAACGUCGAAGUCUGAAAGCAGAAGGCGUGGGCUACUAUAUGAUCGUACACGACUAAAGCUAGCUCAUCCAUCCAGUCGUUUCACUCGAGCCCCUUUAUUAGUAAGGUUGUCUUUAGAGCGCCUACCUCACUGGCUUCCUUACUACUAAAAGUGAAAAGGACCUGAUAGUGCCUAUUGCCUUAAUGCCUAUAAACUGGGAUCCUUGAAAUCACUCUUUAUCAACUGAAGACCAAUAAGCACAAGAAUGCAAGUAAACCCUACCACCGAUACUAGACUAACGGGUCGACUCACAGCUUCCCCUUUACCACAUAUGCUCUCCAUACCCAAGCCUGAGAGCACGCCAUCUCUUCUAAGAUGACUGCCCUCAGGUACUUGACCGAACAAGGUAAACUCCGCAACUCACAGUAGAUUGAAUGAGUGGUUCGCUGUACCACUGAUAUUGCCUUAACAGCUACUUGUGUGGAGCUUCUCGGCUCAUCACCUCUGCGUUAUCGAACUAAGCCUUUUCCACCGUAGUGAGAUAACCCCAUGUAAAAACAUACCUUCGCACGAACUAUUCAUCGAAUCGGACCUAGCAGAGACAGGGACUCGAUCGGGAUUCCUCAAGUCUUGCAUUCCGUACCUUGGGAAGGAUAACGAAAAAGACCUCGCUCCUCGUACGUGCCUUUGUAUGAUACCGAAAGGGGCCUGAUGUAGUGGGAUAUCUCGUUGUUGUAUUCUUGCACUUGUACCUGUUUAUUAAUUGGACUAAUUAGAUAGUUAAUACGAUGUACAAGCUAGUACAAUACCAAAACCAAAGUGUGGAAUACGCCAUGGAGCUCUCGUUCUCUUGUACCAAGUCUUGCGAUGUCCUAAUAGAGGGAAGGCUUCCAGGAAGGGUUCUAAUACUUGUCUCUCGCUUAAUGCCUUGGAUAGCAGUACUAUAAAUGCACCUUCUUCUUGUUUGUUAAAAAGACCUUCUCGAGAGACCUGGAUGUUCCCAAGUUGUUGUUAAAGAAUCUUUAAGGGCUUUGAAGAAGCUUGGAUGUCUCCCAUGGUUCCUUCAAGGACUUCUAAAGCAAGGGAACACUUAUCAAGGAUCUUAAAGCACGAGAAGACAGCCAUCAAGGUCAAGCGGGCAGACUUACGUUAUCUCUCUUUUUGAUUACAGUAGGCCGAUGCCCCAAAACACGGGGUUUUAUCAAAUUUUCCGACAUAAAAGUGCCAAAAAAGGGGACUUAAUGAGGGGGGGUCCGACCGCCCAUUGAAAGCAUACCCCUUGAUACUCCACAUGUGGCAAAACAAGGCUUUUUCGAGGUUUCUCUUUGAAAUGAUCAAUUUUGGACCUUCGGAAACACAACUUUUCAUCUCCCCCUUAUAAAGGCCAAAAGUAGGCAUUUCGUGCUCUCCCUCUGAAAUUUACACUUUUCCGACCCCGAAAUCUCAACUUUCGCAUCUCCAUAUGUGGAAAAAGUAGGCAUUUUAUGGUCUCUCUUUGGAAUUGCCAUUUUCGGACCCCCGGAAACACAUCUUUGAUGCUCCUUUAACCCAUCGUAGUGGCAAUAGGAAUCUAGAGAUGUGCCGUAGGGGAGAUUCUACUCUUGGAUUGUACCUUCGAUAGAAGAGGAAAAAGAAGGCUUCUUCGUGUUCUCUCUUUGAAUUCGACCUGCCAGGCCUUCCAAAGGUGCACUUUUCUAUCCUUCCAACCUAACCCAUCGAAAGCAUCAAUCGGAAUCUAGAAAUGGACCGUGGGAGAGGUUCUAUUCUCGGCAUUGUACCAUCGAUAGGAGAGAGGCAAAAUGUUAUCUGUCCCUUAAUGCUGUAUACUCUCUUCUCUCUUUCUUAAGACUUUAGAUAAGCCUAAGGGCAAGAUAAAGACAUAGGAAAGGAAGGAAGAGACGGAGAAAGCCAAAAACGUUAUCUGUCCCUUAAGAUGUUAUGCGCGGCUGAAGGUCUUACGAGAUGUUCUCUGCCUCUGGUCAUGGUCAUGUCCCCUAAGAUUUGUUAUGCGCUGCUGAAGGUCUUAUGAGAGGAUUCUCUGCCUAAGGUCCUGGCCAUAUACCAGAUGGUUUGUUAUGCGCGGCUGAAGGUCUUAUGAGCUCUGUGCUCUGCCUAGGUCUCGACCAUGUACCUAAAAUGUUAUGCAUGGCUGAAGGUCUUAUGAGGUGUGGAUUCUUUGUCUCUGCCUCUGGUCUUGGUCAUAUAGGAAAGGAAGAAGGGAAAGCUCGGGAAUACAGCCUUAGAGUUGGGCAAGCAAUCGAGAAGCAAGGUCGCCUCGGACAAAUCGUAGAUAUCGCAGUUCUUGGAAUACUUGAAGGUUAAUCUUGGAAGUGCACGAUAAGCAUACCGUUUUAUAAGUAUACAGCGUGUGCACUCGGCCACGAAGACAAGAGCGGGCGGCGGCAGAGGUAGCAGCAUCUAAGCCAGUAUCUGGGCCAGUUGGCUUCCAUCGAGUUUCCAUAAAACAAGGUUGUUCCUUGCUAGUAACUCUUUCUUUUUGAAGUGAGUGAGCUACAGCCCUCGUGUCCGUUAUGUUUUGUAUUGGCAUUCCGGGUCUGGAGUCUAGUAUUGAUUCCAAUAUAUACUAGUUUAUUCCUUCCCCUAUAUUCCUUCUAUUUGUAUGAAUACUAUAAUAGGCUUUGGCUCUUUCUCUCUCUAACAAGACCUAGCCCAGGCAAGAAGAUAAGGAUAAAGGAUUCUUGAUCAAAUGCUCUUUUAUUUGAAGUCAGUUCCUUGGGAGGAAAUCUCCUUCCCCGGUUUGAGAUCCAGUUGAAGUAGUGGCAUUCCCUGUACCCGUAACAGUGGAUAAUAUUGUAAGUUGCGUUCCAGUCAAUUCGAGUUCUGUUUCCAAGGGCAAAUGCUAUCUCUGAGUCUGUUACAGCGAGUGAGGCAGGAAAAUGACCCCAACAGAAAGUGUUUGGGUAAUUUAGAGCUACCUAGGUUGAAGGUGGCGACUCUUCUCUUGAGAGAUGGGAAGGGACUACUUUCUAUCGUACCCACGAGAAUGGGAAUUUGCCCUUCAAACAAGCCUUCAGAGAUGGGAAGAAGCCUCCUUCUACGCCUUUUCCUUAAGCGCGAGUUCUGCUUUAACUGGAUUCUAGAAAGGCAGUUCUUUGACCCGGAAGUCAAUAGGAGCUGCUAUAGAAUCCGAAUCUGGCUUUGCUGCUUUCUCUCUGGCUUAUGGUGGUACCUUGACUUCUUUUCUUCCUCUCCUGCUGCCCAUGAACCUCCAGCCUCUUCUGCUCUUUCAAGUUCCAGUGCUGGCGGAAGAACCUCGCUCCUGUACUCGGAUCUAAGUGAUCUAGCAUCGAGUGGAUCUAAUGAGGCAAGAGAAGCAGUCGAAGGCGACUAGAUUCUUCAAACCAUUAAGCGGGACAAAGACCCGGGCGGGCUCUACUCUAGUAGUGGAAACCAUGAAUCCAAUUCCUCUAUAGCUCUCCCAUCCACCAACCUCUCUCCUCUUCCCAAUAUCCAGCCAGCGCUGCUAAGCAACCUCGAACGGAACCAUCUUUCUCUCUAUCUCUCGGAAAUAGCUACCAAAGAAGGAAGAUGAUGCACCAGUGGGUUCUCAAUCGAAUGAAAUAACGUAUCUAAAGGCCCACUUAAUGGAUCCAACGAAGAGCUAUCAACAGCGAAGGAACCUCCACCAAGCUCUCAACUAAUCGGGAUCGACUUAACCAGAUAAGCUUUCCUAUGCUUAAGAGCCUACUUCUCUAAGUCCAUAUCUUCCGGCAUCACCAUUCCCAUUCUCUUCCUUUCAAAGCAAUUCUUUGAUAGCUGGGAGACCCACUUGUUAUGACGUAUCUAAUAGGCAGCCUGAACCCACGAAUGUAGGUGAAUAACCAUCAGCUUUCCUUCAACUUCAACCUGUACCCGCCCGUAAAUACCUGGCCAAUUGCUUCACUUCCAGUCCCAGGUAACCUCCUUUCUCCGGCAGCAACUACCCGACUCUUCGAUGCCUCCCUCGAAGUCAAAACUCUCCUCUCCAGUGGCUAGGGCCAGAAGCCUCCUUUCCUUCAACUAAUUCAAGCGAUUCAGUCAGUAGGAAAGUCAUCUCACUGAACAUUGGAUUAUAUACAACCUCGUGAACAUUACAACCAGAGUAUACAUUUACAUUUCCACUUUAUAUUUCUCCCCGAACGCACAAGAAAAGGUAGAAGUGCGCUUCCUAAAGUUAGAGUGAGGAAGGGAUCUUAGCCAUCGGUGACCUUCAUCUCAAAGCAUCGCGACAGAGAAUUAAUAAGCGAGCGGAUACCAGCUACAUCGCUUCCAAUAAUGAGUAUGUCAUCGACAUAAAGGAGAAGAACAAUAAUGCCCGAAGUAGAGCAUUGAACUCAUCCUGCAUGGAUGCGCGCCAUUCUGGUACCUUCGAAGCCUGAGAGAAGCAGGUCAAAGAAGCAUCGGAUUGAAGAGCAAGAAAGCGGGGAGUGGCGGAGAAGACCUUCGGUUUCCCAUCCCUCGACCGAGUAAUCAUAUGAUGACGUGACACGGUGGCAGAAGAUGAUGGUGGCGGUGUAGUCAUGUCAAGUACACCUAGAACCUUGAUCAAAGGCCAAUGGAGGACCAUCAGAGCCAGAGGGAGCAACCUCAGUCGCAGUAACAGCAGGCUGGUCGAAGAUCAGGAGUGGCGCAUCAACAGAAGCAGAAGAGGGCGACGAGACGUCACAAGAGAAAGGCUCAGACGAGCAAGGAGCAACGCGGCUGCACUGGAGAACUGGUAGGUGAUAGAGAUGGGGGAGUGAGAUGAGUAUCAACUCUCUCUCGCGCCUUUCUUCAGCUUGUUCCUGUUCGUCUAUUCGGGACGGGGCAGGCAGCCCACAUACAUGAAGAGAAGAAGAGAGGGGGGGUUCCUUGAUAUUAAGGUGUCAAAGCGGUCGAAGAAGGCCACAAGUGGAAGCAACCGAUGCUUUGGUCAUUCAGUUGACUCCUUGCUGCCAGUCCGUGCUUGCUGUCAUGCUGGCAAAAGCAGGGGUUUCGGCCGGUUUUACCUACUAUUGGAUUUGAACCAAUGACUCUCGCCGUAUGAAAGCGAUACUCUAACCGCUGAGUCAAGUAGGUAAAGCUGAGUCAAGUCAGAAAAAAGAGACCCCUAUAAGAGAAAGCCGCGCAACCAGAGUUCCCCUUACUAUAUAAGGGGGGGCGGAGCGCUAAGAAAGAGAAAGCGUUAUCACUAUACGAAAUGAAGCAGCGGCUAGCACGCUAAGAUCAACCACUUGGAGAACGCGGAGCCUUUCUUUCUCGGUCGUCUGUCUUAAUAGUUGUGGAUUCCGAUUCAUGCGGUCGUUCUCUGCUGCAUUGGUGUUUUCCCUCCCCACUCUCCACCAUAACAAAAUGUUUCAACUAUAUCUCAGGAGUAGUCAAAGGAAGUACGGCGGGUCCGAGUAGGAAAAAAUUCACUAAGAAGUAGGGCAUACAACAAUGGAUCAAUUCAUUCAACAAGAUCCGUUCGGAUCGAACCAGGAUGAAUGGGAUUGGUCUGACCUCUCGCUCGGAUGUAAGACUCCCGCCGCCUGAUCUACGACCACCCAUGCCACGUUUCGUGAACAGCUAUGCCCGAGAAUGAAUGAAUUGUGAUAUAACGCCGAAUAAGCCACUGCUCUAUUCCCGACUCGAAAUCCAUAAAGGACUUUAAGGGAGAACUGCUCUCUCUAUCUCAGCAGCUUUCCCUACUACCGGCACAAGAGGGACUUUUUCUCUAAAGCCUACUUCCUCUCUCUGAUCUCAAAACCCAUUUUGUCUCGGUACUGGAAGCCGCAGCUGACCUGGCCUAUCUUUCUGAUCCGCUAGUACCGAAUUGUUCAGACUUAGGGCCUGCCGAGCGUACGAAAAGGGGAAUCUUUCUCUGAACUGCCUACUCUCUUCCCUCAACUGCGCAUUCAAUAGCAGUUUUUAUACUAUUACUGCUCGUACAAAAACAAUGCCUUGAGGAAUCUGUGCAUCGAGACUUACAUAUGAGACUAGUGAAAUAAGUUACUUGCCCUAGUGCUACUCCCUGGCUUCCUUCCUCCACAGAAGACUUGCUAGAAUAGCUUGUGUCACUUCCUUGCAUGGACAGCUACCACCUCUUCUCUUGACUUUCCUUCGCUUCGGGUAGACUAAGAGCUCUUUCUUUAGUCUCUAUCCUAUCCCCUCCUUCUACUAGCCGACUAGGAGUUAGAAAGCCUGACUUCAACUACCGCUUACAGGGCACUAAGAUUGACUGCUUUUCUCCUCUAGCCACAGACAUGCUUGACUACCACAGACAGGAGACCGCCAUUACUACUUGAACUAUCAAGCCAAUUAGUAACACAGGCUCGGUGGCUCUGGCUCCUUGUCCGGCUGGGAAGGUUCUUUUCUAUACACCAAUCGGCCUACUGGCUCGGGAGGAAGCACUCACAAGUACUGCACUGAUAGGACUGCCUGGACAGCUAAAGGAUGAACUCGAAAGUUUCCCACAAAAAAGAUAAGAUAGAGCUAAUUCUGUAUUUCCCUCAAAAACGAUUUUCUACAUCAAGAGAAGGUGGUUUAAAGAAAGAAUAAUGCCAGCCGAUGAGACUGACCGCUGGGACAGAUCUUAUUUGAAAGAAAGUUAGCAACCGUUGGCUUGCAGGACCGAGACCGUGCUACUGGACUGGCUGUUUUAGUAGGUUGGCUACUCUCUGCGCUCCCAGCUGCUAUGGGAAGAAAGCAAGGACUGAUUCUACUGCUCCUUCACCCAGGGAACGAAUGGGGCUUCGCUACCUAAAGAGAUAGUUUAGAGUUCUUGCUUCCUGCCUUAAAAGCAGAUUUAAAGAGACAAGAUCCGAUUCCUUCAGCCUAUUCAUUCACAGCGGAUGAAGUAAUAACAUUGUACAAUUCUAACUUCAAACCUUUUUGCUUCCUCCCUAACAGGCCAGAGCGAAUGCGGAGGAGAAAAGACGCUGGGUUCUACCACUUAGUAAGUAAGAAGUCCAUAGUAGCGGUCCAUACAGACAAUAGGGGCUAGGUGAGCUCCUCCAAUUGCAUUUCGUCUUUAUAGCGCUAAGCAUAUCAUAUUGCCUGGGAUAACGAGCAUAAGAGCUAAAGGGCUAUUAUCGUAUCAGCCCUCCUAUAGGUUAUGCUAGUUUUUUCCCCUUUCUUUGUUAAUCCUUUGUUUAAUAAAGUGCUUUUUUACUAUAUUUUACCAUAUAGAGUAGUUGCUGUUUUCUUUCUUCAAGAUAGAUCCCCUUCCCAGUGAUACAGUUAGACUUUCUAGUGGUGUAAGCAAGUGCUCCAUUGUGUAAUGGUCUAAGGGCCUUGAAGUUCUAAUCUUACUAUAUCCUCUUACUAUAUCCUAUAAAAAGGUCUAAGGUGUGACUUCUUCCAAUAGUGGGAGGGCUCACAGUAAUCCCGGGUAUACGGGUAUAGCAGUAAUAGGACUUUAACCUUUUUUAUAGGAUAAAGGAUAAGGCAAGUCAUUUUUGAAAGCAAGAGGGCGAUACGAGGUAAGAGUUUGCAGGCCAAUUCCCUAAAUAUAAAGUGAUUCAAUAAAAACAAGCACAAUCCUGUGGUAGGGAUUUUCAUUUUAGUCAAGCUAGCCAGUCCAAAGGAGUCAAGCAAGGAGUCUUUAAUGAAAGAAAAUGGGCAAGUAAGAGAGGGAUUCUCUCCAAAAAGGCUCUAAGAUUAUAGGUCAAACAAAAAGAGGUCAUAGGGCAAAUGAAAUCUAUCCAGUGAAAAAGCCAACCCUAAAAGAAUCUCGUCUCCCCGCCAAUCCUAGUUCUUCGCCCUGUUAAGCUAUCUCUUGCAGCUACAGUUGAAGUUUCUUUCGAUGGGGCCAGUUCCAGGAAAGUGUAAGUUCUAAGGCCUUCCAGGAAGAGUGGGGGUUUUUUAUAGUGAAAGUGUUUUAAUAAGUAGCAUAAAAGGGAUCCCUUUACAAAAAGUCCUAAGGGGCCAGCAAACGGCGAGAUAGACAUAAUUAGGAUAGCAGAUUUUUGGUUCUAGGUCAAUCAAAAGCAGGUUCUAGAGCGAGCUAAGGUCUUCUCCUCCAAUCGAAGUGAUAAAGCCAGUUCCUUGUCAAGUCAGUUAAAGAAGUCAAAUCCAUCCUUUUCUUUCUCUUUCCUGAGAAAGAAAACAAGGAAAGCAAGAAGGCCGGUUAUAGCGAGGGAAGAUGAAAACAGUUUAAAGGUUGUGCUGUCUUAAAUAAUAGCAGUACCCCGGUAAAGUUCUGUCUUCAAAUGUCUUAGAUUCCUGUCCUUAAGUGAAAGUCGAGCGGUAACCUUUAGACUGAAAUUCCAGGUUUGCUGCGAUGAAUGAAUAUACGAACACGAACCUAAUGCUUGCCGAAGAAUAGAUCUCCAGUCUUAAGCUCUAUCAUUAAAGCACAACCGUAAAAUGCAAUUGUUGCUUUCUUCCAGGACAGGAAUGGGAUCACAAGAAUGCCGUAAGGGAGUUGCAGUCUAUGCUGUGUGGGACGGAGGAGUUGCAGUCAUAAAAGAUCUUCUGUCUUAUACCUUUAAGUAAGUCGAUAAGACAAUUAAAGUCCUUUCAGUCCUUUCAUGGAGGAACCGAAAAUACCAAGCUCGCUGAAGAAGGAACUCUCGCGUUCAAUAUAAAAAUCCUUUUCGAAGUGACACUGGAGGGGCCUGAACAUGUAAGUUCCCCACCAGUUAAGAUACAUGGGCCGGCCGAGUUUAGUCAGAAAGGAAAGCUCGAUUCAAGGAAAAUACACACGAGCAAUGACAUUAGAAGGCUUCGAACGACAGACGGAAUACGGAGGGCGUACGGAGAUGAUUCCGGGGGUUAAUUCCCUGCAGGGCUAUUACACAUUCCCGAAGGAAGAUUCAGAGCUAGCACAUCUGGCAGACAAAGAAAAAGCAGUCCUGGCUUGGUAAGCAGGUUAAAAGGCUAACCUGAUAUGACUACUUAGACUGCUUACACUAUUUAUAAAGCGUAGAACACUAAAGGUUGGUCGUAGAUCAGUUCUCUUGUCAAGAAAAGCAGACGUGGAUUCGGGUGCUGAUGGAGAUGCGUAUUGUCAGAAUGCACCUUUUCUUUCGGUAAAGUUUUGAUUGUUCAGACUUAGGGCCUGCCGAGUAAGAAAGAAAGAGAUCACAUUAGUCUCUGCCUUAUAGAAGAUCUAAGACGGAUUCCAUUCAGGCAAGCGCUGCUAUCGAAUCUAGCUAUCCGGAAGUGAAAUAUUGAAGAUACGAUUGAAGAUACGAAUGAAUAGGACAAUAAAGAGAAUAGGCGGAGAAUGCCCUGAUCUUCGGGAGCUGCCGGUCGUCUCUGCCCACUCUAAGACUCUAUUAGGGCUGGCUUGAAAGAAGACUCACUUUAUCACUUGAAGGAAAUGGUUAACUCCAUUCCCAUUUGAAUACCCUUAAAGUAACCCCAUUUGAGCUAUUUAAGGCUAGGAAAAUUUCACCGAUGCUUGCAAGUCAAUUGCACUACUCUUCCUUGCCAUUCGGAUCUGACCCACUUUAAGACUGGCUGGCUUUAACUAGAACUGGAACUGUCGCUUAAUCCGUCCCGUUUCGAGACAGAAAAGAAAGGGGAUGUACGCAAUCAAAUAAUGUAUAGGGCACGACUGACAGGACUGUAAACGAGAACUUUUAUUAUACCCGCAGGUUUGAUCACAUUUAUUUCUUUAAUUCCUGUACUGAUACAAAUAGCAAUAAUACCAAUCAAUUCUCUUAGGUGUUUUCUUGUUGUAAUUCCUUCACAGUACAUAAAGUACAGAAGAUCUUAUAUGCCUGUCGAUCAUUUCAUGAAAACAGAUAAGUGCAUUUCCACCUGAUAAACUUUUCUAGACUAUCGCUCUAGUUGAAGAUAGGUUUUAUUGGCUAUCCUUCCUUCAAGACUUUUGCCUGCGGUCAAAACAUAUCCUUUCCUUCGGCGCCAGUCUUUCCUGGCUUACCUUAGCCCCGCUUUCAUGUGGUGAAUCGGUAUUCAGUUUCUGUGAUCAUUAGACGAGAUUAUCGUUCUGAACCAAAAGUGAGGAAAUCCGCUCUUGCCAGACUAGCUUUCCGUGGAGUCAAAGUCAAGUAGCCCUCGAUGGACCUACUCCUAAGUUGUGAAAUCAAAUCUCCCAAGCCUGGUCCUAUCUUUCCAUUCCUUCUCUGGUUCGGGUGCAGGCUCAACUCCACGGAAAUCUUCACUUACAGGUUGACCUAGAAGUCAAAGUUCUGAUCUCGUCCCAGUCCAUUGACUGAAAUUAAGAAGAUCAUUCGUGCCCGAUGGUCUAUCAUAUAAGUCUUUUGCAAAAUGCCGUUAACCUAUUUAGCUCUUUAUUAUCAAACAUCCUUUAGCUGUCCAGGCAGUCCUAUCAUUGCAGUACUUGUCCUAGUCCCGAGCCUCUAUUUGAGAUGACAGGGAUGAUGUCUCGAAUUGACUACUUUAAGGUAGUGCACAUGGUUUCAGUACGUGAAGGAUUCGGUGCAAAAGCGCUGCUGUCCUAAAUGGAUUCGGUGUUUGUCAACACAGAGUUCCCGACUCCGAGUUAAAUCGGUAAGCUCCAGGGAUAAGCUACUUUGAUAGAGGGUGAUCGUAGAUCAGCAGGAGAAAGAGACUUUUUUUCAAUCUAUCGGGGUUGGAGCUUUCCUUAGGGAAAUGAGUGUACAACAUUCUGAUUUUGCCCUAAUCCUUUUAUAGCUAUAGCCAUUUUUAAAGUAGACAAUCCCAGCUUGGAAAGUGGUUGAGUGAUCAACUUGCAGAGCCGAUUUGAGGAUCGGAUCGGUGGGAUGCCGUAGCUUUAAGAUAAAGGGGAGAAAGGAGGCAGUCGGACAAGUAGGGAAUGCUGGGGUGAACCAGAAAAGUUUGGGUAGAGCCGGAUCGAAAUGAUAGAUUCACUUCAGGAAGCCAAGAAGUCAGUCAGCAUUCAGUUAUAAUGGUGUUUAAGACCAACUCCUUUUAUAAGCUCUUCUGAUAGGGCACAGGAUAUAGCCGAGUCUUUCUUGUUCUUCCUUUGUCACUUUAUGGCUAAUGACCUGUCGAGGACUCAUCAGUCAAGCGGAUAGCAUUGCCUUUGAUUCUUGCUACUGUUCUUACUCACUUGCUAACAGCGCUAGUCGCCUCUGACUCUCUGUGUAUGAAUAGGAAAUGUCAUUCUGUCCUUUCAUCUCCUUAUCCAGUACUGACGCCGCUCUACUUCAGUAUCAAGGUUACCGCUCGACCUUCUCUCCUGCAUAGGUAUGGCGCAUAGAAAGGAUCCACUCUUGACCUUAAUGAGAGUGACUACCCCGACUGACUCAUAUCUAUCGUAAAAGGCCUCCCCGGUAUCAUGCGAAAGGGAUCAGCUACUCCUUUAGCAUUAGCUGGAAAGUAGAGACUUCUCGCAAUCCGAAGCGAGAAAGCACUGGCGCAGAUGGAUGCACCAUUUAGCCUUUGAAUAGAACUAGUUGUGAUGAACCAAGCACUGGAGGUGAAUUCGACAGGGCCUGAUCCUCUGUUUCUUUUCUAUGUAAUCUAAUCUCUCUUUCAACCUCAACCGAGAAGCUGGUCGACGGUGAUCCAAUUGGAAAGCUAAUGAUGGAAUUUCAAAGCCUAAGACAAAUUUUAGAACUCGGUCCUAAAAAGGCCCAUGCUAACAUAUACAUAUAUCUCUUUUCCACCUAGGUCAAAGGGGUAUGGCGCUAUAUAUGCUACACCGAAGUAUGCUCCUAGGUCUGCCUAUGGCUCUGUAUCUACCUCUGUACGCCGGUGCUUCUUUUGAUAAGCUGCAGGAUCAAUGGCUUAAACUACUGCUUCUUCAACGCUUCUCCUGCGACUUGUUCUCCUUUCGUCCUUGCUCCUGCACGCACCUAAAGGUACAGUAUCUAAACGUAUUCGUGUAGCCAGGAGGAAAGCAAAGAUGCCCCGUUCACUUUCAUAGGAACUGAAAUACUUUUUAUAGGAAUUAGAAUAAGCAGUACUUUCUAUCCUUCGGACCCUUGCUUUGGGGGAUCUUUCUUCACUGCCCGAGAAGAGAAGAUCAUAUGCAAUGACAUUUGAGGAAUCCAAGGGCAACUACUGGCUCUAAGCCUAUGCACAUGAAUCAUAAGUGGGACCGUUUAGAUUUCACUUAGGAAAGUAAGAAGAAGCUCGCCCUAAUCAAUAAGCAGGAGAGGAGGGGUCCUUCUUUUUUUGAAUUGCAGAAUCCUUUAUAUUAAGGCAUGGAAUGGAAUCAAUGAUCUUCUUAUCUUCUUUUUCUUGUCCUUUCAGUCGGAGUUAAGAUAGAAGACCUUAAAGAAGAAAAAGAUCAUCCCGUAGGUCCACACUUCUCUCGCCUAUGAGCUGGCUGCAUUCCAGAAUCAAGCUAUUUAAGCAGGGAAGGCUGCGACCUAAUUGUAAUUUAGCUCUUAAUCUCCGUCUAGUUUCCCCCCUAAGCCAGACCUCAGGUACGAGGUUUGAGCUCGACCGAAUCUAAAGAAAGCUAAGGGGAAGGAGCGAAAGCAACUCUAAUUUCAAUCAAUCUCUGACUUAGCCAGCCUAUUACAGCCUUUCUAGAAGAAAAGAAGACAGAUCGUCGAAGGCAAUACACUCGAGCCUCAAAAGAAAUCUCAGGCAGCCUAUACUCAACUCCGGGAACUUGAUGAUUAUGUGCACUCUUUUGUUUUCAAAUCGUCCUUUUAUCCGGCUGAACUCUUUCUUUUUAAAAACUGGUAGGUGCCCUCGUGGGAUUGUCGAUAAGCAAGACCUUGACUAGCUUAUAAGGCUCUCUUUGAGCUACAAGCGAUUUGAGAGCCUCUCCCUUUCCUACUCCCCCUUAUCUCAACUAAAAAUUCAACAAAUUUUCGAAACAAUUUAUUCUUCUUGACAAGGAAUGGGCUUCUACCUGGAAGAAGCACUGACUUCUUUGCGUAAAGAACCUAACCGAAUGCUUCCGUCUGAAGUUAAUAAAAAAAAUUUCCCUCAGACCAUUUCUCCUAGAAUUUCGAUGUCUUGUCUCUUUUUCAAUAGGCCUUUCUAUUCUCAACUCCGUACCUCUCCUUUCAGUCUACAAAUCUUGACCUCGGAACGACCGCUUGCAAUGUCUUCUUCCGUCGCUGCUUACUCUUUCUCUCGAUCCUUUUCUUUCCUAUUGGGAUACCUUUCGAUCUUGGCAUGGCUCAGUGACGUUGGCAGGGAUGUGUCACCAUUUAAGUAGAUAUGCUUAUUCUUGGCAUCAAUGCCAUCUUCCUUUUCGAUAGCAAGCAUCCGAUCAAGGGAGAGUUCAACUAGUUCUAUUGGCUCUAAUCUAUCCCGCCUGAGCGAGGGCCUUAGCAACUGGCAUCCUUUCCUUCGUGCUAACAGCCAAAGACCUAUUUGUCCAAUCCAAACCUCUAAGGCGCAAAGAAGCCCUUCUCUUACGAACAUUGGAGCAUCACUUACUCGAAUCCCGAAAGACAGACUCCUUGAGCACUUGCAAUUAGAUAUAUUAUUAUCUUAUAUAAAAUUAUCUUAUAUUAAAUAGGCUAUUUGCGGGGAAAAGGGGCUUUAAUGCCUUAACAAGCCCUUCUUGGCUAACUGCGGUUAUUCCUCCAACAGCUUAGUCUGUGCAUUCAUGUCAACUCUCUUCUUAUACUAUUGGAUUAACCCCAUCAAGAGGACAGUCAGAAGGCUAGCUGCCCAUUCCUAGUGUCAGUUUAUUUAAGCCGGAUAUUCCCCUCUUUUGCACAAGCCCUUUUUGCUUGAAGCUCUAGCCCUUAAUGCCCUAUUAGCCCUUCUAGCCUUUCAAAAUGGAUUAGUACUAAUUCGAUGGAUGCCAUCUAUGAAUCCUUCCCUCCCUCCAUCUGCUGCAUGAACAUCGACAGUGAAAUCACUUAAUGUAAGGUAGCGGAUGAGGCGAAAGAGCAGCAUUGCAUCGGGAGAUUGCCUCAAAGAAAGAAGGCCCAGCGACUGCACUCAUCCUUUUUAGUUUAAAAAAGAAUCCCUUACCCCCUAUGGUCUAGGGUACUACGGGUGGGUUGGAUAUAAUAUAGGUGUUUGCUAGCAGAUUUUUUUUUAAUAUCCCAAAGUAUUCGAAGAAAAGAAGCCAGCCUGGCAUAGCUAGAGUAGAGGGCCUUGGCCUUGCUCCGGUCAAUUCAAAACUGUGUUUUUCGCUAUACCUUCUGUCUAUCAAAACGAGAGUUUCGGACACCUCAUAGGGCCUUUCUUUAGUAGAGUAACAACAUGAAUGCUUAUAUGCUCCUGCGGUAUCCAAGCACAACGAGAUUCAGGAAGAGUACCUAUUUAGGUGAAUGCUACGGUAGCAGGUCGGGGCCUCGAUCAUAGCAGAGAGGUAGUCUUUCAAAAGGUUGAUUGCUAAUAACCGAAGGGCUUCAUAGCUUAGUCCGUCCGCGCAGUGAGUGGGUCAAUCUCCCUCCUAUUAGCAGGAGUCAUAUCCUUUUGCUAGAAGAAGAGUAUACGCGCCUUACGUGAUAGAGGGCGGGGUUCGAUUUAAGUAGCGCGUGAAGCGGAGGUGGGGGUGGCGACGUUGUUUUGCAAGAGGUGGUAGAGGCAAGUAAGGGCAACAGAGGUAGUUUCAGUUCCACCUAUCACAUGCAGCCGCUUUCCGAGUCAAUUUCGAAAGCCACCAGUAGCAGCUACCCAGUGGAAGAACCAAUUAAUUAGUCACCGGUGAAGAAGGAAGAAUGGACAAGUUUGUGUUUGCAUUGAUUUCCGAGACCUUAACAAGGCUUGCCCAAAAGAUGACUUUUCACUGCCACACAUUGAAAUCUUCGUGGAUAACAACGCUGGCUACGAGAUGUUAUCAUUCAUGGACGCUUUCUCCGGGUAUAACCAGAUUAAGCUCGCUAAAGAAGACCAAGAGAAGACAUCAUUCACUACACCCUGGGGAACCUACUGCUAUGUUGUCAUGCCAUUCGGACUUAAAAAUGCUGGAGCCUGUUAGCCAUAAUCUUCGUAAUGAAUUUAUAUAGUUGGUUGCAUAGGGAGAUUGGCCUGUAGUGUUCAGGUUUUGAGGGACAUCAGAUUGUAUGAUAUUCCAGCAGUGGUUUAUAGAAGUGAGCGUUGAAGCCAUCCGGUCCGGGUGCCUUAACCAAAAUUCAUGGAACCUGAAAGGGAGCCUUCGUUCGAGGACCAGGCUCUGGGGCAGUCGAGCGAGAUAAGUAAAGGAUUUUGAUCUUCUUUCGCAGGACGUUCGAUUCAGUAAUCUAUAGCGGUGCCUAGCUUAUUUGAUAGAUAAUGCUUCUUCCUGGUUUCAACCCCUUCAUUCGUACGCGAUAAAGAUAAAUAUAAAAAAAUAGAAAUAAGGGAAGGUCGCUCGAGGUAUACCUCUUCACUUCAAUGGCUCGAUUUGGUUACUGGAAAAGGACGAGUUUAACAAAGAAAUUGAUUAUGUGACAACGUACACCUUUCUCAAAAGCUCAUCGUAAGAGAUAGACAAAGACCGUUGAUCUACUUUCGAUCUAAAGCACCCAAGAAUUCGACUCGCUUACUUUGAUAUGCUUCAAGCGUAUAUCAGCUUAAAGCUUGCAUGUUUUAAGCAUCUCGCUAGCCUUCCUUUCCUUCUCCUUCUGAGCCAUCCUGGCUCUUUCUCGUGUCGUGUAUAGUCCACAUCCACUCUUACUUAGAUCAAACUCUGAUUUUUUCUUUCUCUACGAGACGCCGAUGAAUAUUGAGAUACGAAAUUCUUGUGAAUGGAAAGCGCAUACAUCGAGUGAAGACUCCAGAAUAGGAAAUGUGAGUCCCACUAACUAAAGGAUUACUAAACGCAAUCACCAGAACCAUCUUAUCUUCGAAUGAUUCAUCCGGCCCAAUGGCUUUGACUCAAUUAAGUAAGAGGAGCUCCACUUUAGGUCUACCCCCUCUCUCAUUCUAUAAUGGAGUCUUCCACUCCUUCUUCUUUUUCUUCUUUUGCAACCUCUUCAAAAAGCUUGGGUGCCUUCCCUUCUCUUCCCUUCUUUACCAAGAUAUGUAAGAUACCUCCGUACCACACCAACUCCAUGUGCAAUAGCCGGUUUUAUAGAAAGCAGGGCAUAGAUCAAGCUCCUUAGCGCUGAGGACUAGGCGAUCUUUUCCAUUUCUUUAUUUUCUUUAUCACUUGAGGUUGAGGGACAAAUGAAAGACCGAAGCCUAGAUCUUCAAAUCCUUCUUCCACGGGCCAAAGUACGUCCAAGUCAGACUGGCCUUGAUUGACUAGAUAAAUUCCUUUCUUCCUUUACCACAUCUUCGGGAACCCCUAGAUUGACAUGAAGAUCCCUACAUUCAUAAAGCUCGAAAGAUAUAAAGUGCAGUCUCCAUACAAGUCGAGCUCGACCGAACCUAGGGUCAAGGGCCCCCUAUCGGGGAAGCUACUACGUUCCGUACCCUUGCGCCCCUCAGAAGGUUUGCGAGAGAAAGACUUUUAACUAAAGUUACCGUGGAAGAAUUGUGAGAAAGCUAUUUUAGAAAGGUACUCUUGAGAAGCUCCUGGAUCAGCCUCCAACUACCUGUACAGGAAGUCACCUCACAGGUUGGACUCUAUCCCCUUGCCAGACGGAACUAUAAGGUAUUAGCCCCCAAGGUAGUCAAGACCACCAGACUUUGGCGCACCCGCUUCUUCUAAUUUUCUAGUUCCAUCACCGGUUCCAAGAAAGAGUGCUAAUCUUGUAAGCCGAGGUGGAGAGAUUAAAUAUGUUAAGGGUUAAACCAGCGCAGCGCUUGCAUCAACUCAUGGCAUGCCAGUGUUUGAGAAGGUAGUCAGAGCACUCAAGGCUCCUUCUAUAUUUUAUCCUCCUAGUUUAGAUAUUAGUGACUUAGCCUCACUACUCUCAUAUGCCUUAGCCGAAGCGAAGUAGAUGCUUUCUGGGCAUGAACUCCCAGCUAUAAAAAAAAAAGUGAACCUUGCAGGAAAAGGUAUAAAUAUGUCCCCCAAGCUUAUAAUAUGUCUGCUCCUCGGUCAAUAGCCCCGAACAGAUCUGCCCUGGGGUAAGAAGCCGCAACAAGACCGAGUUCAAGAGUUGAUGCUUUUUCGGAUAGCUCAAAGGGUUCCAGACUCCGAGGCAAAAAUCUGUCAGGCUUGCUUGGAAGGCUUUCUUGUUGAAAAGAGUUUGACUAGCUUCUUCUUCUUAGUGAAUUGGAAGCACCGGAACUUCAAGGAUUCCAGGAAAAGAGUCAGCCCCGAGUUAUAAAAUUAGUGACUUGAGCUCAGCGGUUGACGCACCAGAACUCUUACCAGGACCAGUGCCAGUAAGCCUUAGAGAUCGUGUGUAACCCUUCCCUUCAACUAUUCGUACUUCGGACGUGUAAAGCUCAAACCUUUCUUAGUACAUGAGUGAAGCUAGACCAUAGGACCCCCUUUCUACUCUUUUUCCUAGUAAAUCCCCUAGAGAAAAGUUUGACUAUCCCUUUGGCGCCUCAGAGGUAAGUAAAGGGUCCGACUCCAUGUUCAGACUUGCUUGCCCCUUCUUCUGAUAGCACUUCUCCUGUGGCACUUUCUCCUUAAAGAAGAUAUGUUGGAAUUCCCACAAGACGUGGUGCGAGGUCUGAACCUGCCUAACUCUCAUAUGUCUUUAGCGCAACAAAUAGGGAUUUUGUCUUUGGACCGGAACGGAACUACUAGCCUGAAAGUCAAAGGGCACAUCCGAUGGUUCUGCCCUUGGUUCUAAUAUGUAUGCUAUGGACGCAGAGGUUUGAAGAGCCUGAAAAAGUGCAAGUGUCCCAGCCGCUUUUUUUUGGGGGCUUCUGCCCCAGCAUCCUUACAGGAUAACGUACAAUGCUCGAUGAACGAUCUAACAAGAGAGCAUAUGAGAUGAGAGGAAAGCGACUUCGUCCGAGGAAUGGAAGGGGUAGCAGUAAGGGGAUAAGCGAUAAAGCAUUGAUGAGCUAAAGUACAUCUUUUGAUGUAAGUCGAUUAUCUCCUAAGAGAAGAUCUUAGAUGCAUUUGAAGAAGUGAACGAAACGAGCGAGUGAAGCGUAGCGUAGCGCGUAUAGAGCGUAAUACUGGAAGCGAGUCAAUAAUACUAAUGCCUUAUAAGAACAAUUAUCGUAGGAUGCGCCAUUCCCUUACUUUAUCGUGCCAGCCUUGCCAAAUGCAUAAAAAAGGUAAUCUUUUCUCGCUGGUAGUUUUGUUACAUUUCGUAAACCAGUAUCUUUACUCUUAAGUGCUUCCAUUCGCUCUAACGCUAAACGCUAUACCUUAACCUUAAAGCAGUGCUUUUGAAAGCAAUAUAUUAAGUAGGAUAUAGACCUUACCUAUUUUGGUAAGCCCUUUUGUAAAGAGGAAAGCCUGAGUCUUUUAAGCUAGUUGAAGUUUGAGUAUUACUAGCAUCUGUUCCAGUUCUCUCUCUUCAAUCCGGUAAGCCCAUUGAAUGGAGAAAGUUUACAUGGUGGGCCAGGCUAGUUUACUUCGAUGGUAGGAAUCCGCGCAGUAUCGGAAGCCAUUUUUAGCCAUUUACAGCAGCCCAGCCGAACGAAUAGGAUCCCUUUCAAGCUCUUUACCCAGAGGCGCCAGUCAAGCCAAGAAAGUUAUUUUAUCCAAGCUAUAAAGAUCCAUCAAUUCAGCAGACAAAGGCAAGCCCUCCACUUCUUUGUUAGUAGAGUCAUUCUCGUCUUGUCCAUAUGAUCUAACUCGUAAUUGAAUCCAAAAGUCUGCUGUUACAGCUAGUGAAGAGAGAUUUCGAGUUUCAGUUUGAAGCCCAAAAAAGGCAGCUUAUUUUUUAGCUCCUUUGUAGGACCACCCCUACCCUUGGUCAUAAUCCAUUCAACGCAACGUGUUGAAGCUAGUGCUUCUGUCUUCUCGGCGAGUGAAGCUGCAGUGGUAAUCCCUUGCAGUCUAAGCUAAGUCCCCUUUUCAGAUGUAUGGAAUGCUAUAUAUUUCCACGAUGGUGGGGAUAAGAUUGGCUAACUAUCUUUUUUUAAUAUAUGGAUUCACCUAGGAGUACUCCUUGUAUUCACCGAGCCUGUCUCCCCAGGGCUCUCAACCCAACCCCUAAAGGGCAAUAAAGGGCACUACUACUGCGGAUUCACACGAGAACUCAAUAGCUCUUUCAAAUGGAGUGACCCCACCUGUAACUGGCUUUAUCACAGGAAUUUUCCUUUGCUCGAAUGGAUGGAUAGCUUGAACUAGCUUUCGACCACUGGAUCUUGUCUUUCAUCUAAGCCUUGAAAGUCAGUUUAAUUUAGUUUAAAAGAAGCUUAGGCCAACAGAAUGAAUAGAAUAGUAGACAUGCAGUCGUAAAGCCGCAUCAGAGAAGGCAUCGAAUAGGACAAGGAACUGAAAAGAAAACAAAAUGUUAAUAGCAGGGCAGGGAUAAAGAUAGGCCUUUUCUUUUACGACCCUUUUUUGAACUGCUGCCAUUAAGGCGACAUCUAAUGCCAUCUCAUAAUAGCCAGAAGAAGCUGCACAUAAGACAGAGUUUUAUUUCCUGCCGAUGUUACUAAGGAAGUCUUACAGGGACCCGUUGGGGGACGAAGCUUUUGAUGACUUUUUAUAUGAGGAUGAGCUUCAAGCUGUAUUCCAACUUGGACAGGACCGUGAUCGAUGAUUGCAAUGAUGAAGAUCCGGACUAUGGAGGGUCUCUUUUUUGGUUAUUUUGAAUAUUAUGUUCCCGAUCUGGUCUUGCCUUUUAUCUUUAAGGCAAGGACUGUGAAGAUGUGGAACAGCAACCAGAUAAGGACCCAGAUCCCGUUAAGUCUGACAAGAUUGUUUUUGAGAGAAGCCAAGUGAGAAAAUGAUCAAGCACCUCUCCAUCACUGUGCACAUGGACGGUUGCCCAAUUUCAAGAGUGCUUGUGGAUAAAGGUGCUGCCCUUAAUGUGAUGCCCAUCACCCUGCUAAAGUAUUGGGUAAUAAUGAGGAAGAUGGUAUACCAACAGAUGUCUGGUUUCACAAGAGGAGAGGAGUGACUGAAAAAAAAAGGGGGAUGCUUGCCUGUGGAGCUGACAGUUGGCCGAAAUAAGGUCAUGGCAAUGGCACCCUUAUCUUUUGGCAUGAAGACAGAGUUAAAAUCGUGUGGGUGUGGGCUUUUUCUUGUACUCACAUGCAAUCGAAGCAUUUCUCUAUUCAUAUCCUUUUAGUGAAGUUUAUAGGCAAAAGAAAAAAAUGCCGUCCAACAGGGAUCUCGGAAAAGCUGGUCACUAAAGCUGCUCGGACGAUGGACAUAGUACCGUCUAGGCCGAAGUCAGCUUUGCAUCAGUAAGGAAAUCACCUUAUAGAUAAUUACAUUACAUAAAGCCGAUUCCGAAAAAUGCAGCGGUUCAGGCCACCUUUGACAGAAAAAACCAGUACUUGGCUGAAGUAAUGAAGUCCAACUCCCUACCAGAGUGUUUUGAGGCAGGUUGUGUGUGGUUGGUGGAUGAAUCUUCGGCCGAAGAAAGAAAAAUGGAAGACUUGGAGGUGUCCCCAGAAAAGUUAGAUGAUGUGAAGGCAAAUGUUCAGGAUCCGCUACAGGAUAUUCACUUAGGUACGGCUGAAUAUCCACGGCCUGCUUAUAUUAGUGCUUUUCUUACUGGUUAAAAUUAUCCAGUUACUUAAAAAAUUGGAAGAUUGUUUUGCUUGGGACUAUACUGAAAUGCCAGGUUUGAGCCGUGAACUUGUUGAGCACCGGCUACCUCCUAAAUAAGGGUUUAGGCCAUUCAAGCAACCACCCUCCUCCCCUGACCAGAAAAGAGAUCUGUCGUGAAGUCCGGCUUGAAGAACCGUCUUUCGCAUUGUUGGAGAGUACGCUAUCCCGGAACCUGAGACUGAAAUUUAUAUCACGUUAUCCGUUUACGCAGAUUUCUUUCCAGCUAACAUCUUUUUGUAUUCGGUGAAUGACCCGGCUACUUUAUGUCAUUAAAAGAAUUGAGAAGUCUUCUUACGCCAUUUAAAAAGAGGACACUGAGGGGAAGGUUGUACAGCUUUCUCCAACUUGCUUUAUUAGCAGUGAAAGCUAUUAUUUAUAUUCACAAGCUGACCAGAAGCAUAUGGGAAUACUCGUCCUUUUGGUUUAUUGACGAGAAUACCCUUCUCACAAAGAGGAAAGCUAAGGGGCUUAUGUCUCUCUGCAUGAAGAUCAUAUACUUUAAAAGAAAAGACAUCCUCCUUCUUUCCAAUCGCUAGAUAUUCAGGCUGGGAAAAAUUAGUGAACUUUUUAGAAUAUUCCCGACUGGAUGAUGCUGAGACGGAUUCUCUGGAGCAUCAAGCUCAACAGGCUGCCUAGAUGUAUAUCGAUCUUAAAAACAGACUUGGACUUGAUAAUCAUUAUUUGCCUUGUUCCAGUUCUAUUUGUUUAACCUGAAACUGGUUUGGCAUCAAAAGGAACUGCAAAUGCCUGAAAGCUUUCUCCCACAAGAUGAGCUUACCUUAUGACUUAAAGAUCUCAAAUCGCAAUGAAGGAAAAUACCUAUUUGCAUAAAGGACUGUCACAGGAUCUCCCCUGGCAAAAAAGGGAACUCAAAUUGCCUGAAAAUCAAAUCACUACUACUCUCAAGCCGGACCCUUCGGCAAUUGGACAGUAAUUCGAAGUCCAGUACCGGCGAACAAGUAGUCCCAUCCCACGCCUUACUCCUCGAAUGCUUUGGGCAUAGUUUAUAAAAAGAUUCAUGCUAAGGACUAGCGCCCCUUGCUGCACUCUAUAAAAGCAGACUGCCCCCCCUAAUCCUAUAAAGCUACAAUACAGGUUUUUUCUUCUUUUUUUUUUUUGUGCAAUAGAUGCACACUAUUGGGAUUGGGAUAGAAAAUUGCAUUGCCUUGAUGUGCCUCUAUUAGCUACAUAGACCCAACGCUUCACUUAGCUAUCUUAGAUUCACCUAUCUUACUCUUGGUGCUAUCGUAUAGUUGAUCACGGCUGCUUAAUAAGUCAAUCCAAUACCCGGAGUAGACAAACAAUCUCCGACUCCGAGAAGAAGAAGAGUGAGCAGGGAAAAAAGCCUUGGUGAUGUAUCUACUUUCAUCGAGUAUGGUGUGAAUUCUACCCACGUAGCGAGAGAAUAUAUCAAAUCAUUAGCUCUGGUUCACCCUCUUUAUGAAAAGUAAUAUGCUUUUUCGAGGAAGCACCGCCCAAUAGAGCAUAGCCCAAGAGAGGGAUUGAAUAUCCUGUGUAUAGAUCGAAGCAGGCCUUACUUUAUAUUUAGAAAGACUCUUUCUUUCCUAGUUGUUGAUUCCGCCCAUUGGGCAAUACAAGAAUACGCUCUGGGACUGAUUCAUUUUAUAUUACCCGUCUUUUUUGACAAAAGGACAGUUAUUUACCUUAAAAAGAGGCUGAUUCAAUACAAUAGCAUUGGACUAACUCGGAAUUUAGUCAAGCAGUACUGAUCCCCUGAGAUACAUUCCAAGGAAAUGGGAAUGGCACUCGCUAUUGAUGGAUUGGUGCACUCACUCCCUUAUUGGUAUAUAGAUGCAAAUACCAAGAAUCCGCUUCCUUCAGUGCCACUUUUGGCUAUGAUACCUAUAGCGGUGGAAGUUCGCUCAUCAAAGAGCGCUAUUCAGCUUUUUCAGAAAAAAGAGAAUUAAAAACCCGAUACCCUUUUCUUCUUAGAACGCAAGCUCUAUUGUCACAAUAAAUGACAGGUGACUGGGCUAGGGCAGAUGGGGAGGUGCUUUUUCAUAGCGAUCUUUCAUAUCCAAGCCCAAGAGACAGAUCCAUAGUUCAACAGUAGAAGUUGCGAAUUGGUCUCAAAUGCUUAUAGAAACAAAAGGGAUUUGGUCGAAACCAAGUACUAAUUGGAUUGUUGGGUUGGAACCGGCUGCUUCCAAAAAGAAGCCUGUCGUUGGCAAAGCGAUCAUCUAUCUUUGGUUCCAGGUUUUCAUCAUCAAGUAAAAAUGUUAUAUAAAAGGAUUCUAAGAAGAUCACUAACAGAAAAUGCCGAGGGUCCUCUUCUUGUCUUGGUUCAAAGCGCCAUAAAAAGAAAGAAGAAGCUAAUGACUAUUAGGGCACAGACCCAGACACUAAAUUCGUUUAAUGUAAAACGUAUAGUAUCAUUUUAGCCCUUAUAUUCCUGAUAGGGGGAAAGAGGAUAAAUCCACAUAAGUUACUAUACCGGCUGCGAGGAUUUAAUUGUAAUCAAUAUAAGUUGAUACAGCAACUGCGGGGGAUCGCUUUCUUCAAGAGUCUAUUUGCCAAUCAGCCUCAAAAGGUAAAUUUAUAAAUACAAAUGUUAAGAAUCUUUUUAAUUUCAAGUUGCUGGAGCUUCAGCUUCACGUCGGAAAGGAAAUCUAGGCCGAAUCUUUAGAAUUUGAUUUUCCAGUCAGUCAGGGAAUCGAGCCCCUCUAUAGUUUUUUGUUGCCGAAAAGACUUCAUUAGAUAAGACUUUUUUGGAAUCAAUACCUAAACAAAUAUAAGGGCAUCAGCCAGUUUUAAGUGAAUGUUGUCGAACCAGCUAUUGAGUUUGAGUUGAAAGCUGGGGCCCUUGGGCCCCAUAAAAGUAUUGUCACCAGCUAAGAAAGGAACUGCCUUAGUUUUUGUACGAGUAAGGGAUAUCAUAGUAGCAGGAAUAUGCCCAGAAUCUGAUGCUCUAAGUCCCUGCUUUGGCAGCCCCUGUCCGAAUCUAACAAGAGGUUGCAUGUGUUAAGCCUUCUUAGGGAUUAUACCUCUCUAAGGGCCUACGACGAAUAGGCUAUUCUAGGGGGCAUUACCGGUUAACUCUUUGAAUCAGAGAAGGGGGAGAUCUUUCUCUGUCUAUUUUUGCAUUAAAACAAGAGUUUCAGAGGGCUAAGAUAAAAGCCCUAUUCUUCGUUUUCGUUUCGAUUGAUAACCUCGGUCAAACUAUGGAUAAAAAAAAAAAAAAAUAGGAGUAAUUAACUGUGACACGUUCACUAAAAAAAAAUCCUUUUAUAGCAAAGCAUUUAUUAAGAAAAAUUGCUAUGCUUAACACAACGUGGGAAAAAGAAAUAAUAGUAACUUGGUCCCGGACAUCUACCAUUAUACCCACAAUGAUCGGCCAUACUAUUGCUGUACAUAAUGGAAAGGAGCAUUUUCCUAUUUAUAUAACAGAUCGUAUGGUAGGCCACAAAUUGGGAGAAUUUUCAUCUACUCUAAAUUUCCGGGGACACGCAAAAAACGAUAAUAGAUCUCGUCGUUAAAAUAACGAUACUUAUCCUUCAUUAUUCAUUAGUGGGAGGUGAACCUUAUGACAAAUAUGUUAAGGAACAUAAAUAAAGACCCAUUUAUAUUUACAAGAGAAAAAGAAGAUAUAAAAUGAAAAACAGAAGUAUACGCUUUAAGUCAAUCUAUCUCUAUGUCUGCUCACAAAGCGCGAAGAGUACUUGAUCAAAUUCUUGGACGUUCCUAUCGGGAAACACUUACGAUACUUGAACUCAUGCCUUAUCGAGCGUGUUAUCCCAUUUUUAAAUUAAUUUAUUCUGCAGCAGCAAAUGCUAAGCACAAUAUGGGUUUGAACGAAGAAUAUUUAGUCAUUAUUAAAGCCACAGUCAACGAGGGUACUACCGUGAUAAAAUUGAAACCUCGAGCUCGAGGACGUAGUUAUCCGAUAAAAAGACCCACUUGUCAUAUAACUAUUGUAUUGAAAGAUACAGCCUUAUAUGAAAAAUAUGUCGUAGAAAACCCCACUACUAUACUCAGGUGUUUAAAAAAAACCGGAUGGAUAUAUAAAAAGAAGUCCACAGAUAUUACGUGUCAUAAUAUGUAUAGUAGUGGGGGAGUAUGGGACAAAAAAGAAAUCCCCCACUACUAUAUGGUUUCAGACUUGGUACAACCCAAGGUCAUCAUUCGCUUUGGUUUGCACAACCAAAAAAUUAUUUUUUUACGGGGGUCUACAAGAAGAUCAAAAAAUACGGGAUUGUAUCAAGAAUUAUGUACAAAAAAAUAUAAGAAUAUCCUCUGGUGUCGAGGGAAUUGCACGUAUAGAGAUUCAAAAAAGAAUCGAUCUGAUUCAGGUCAUAAUCUAUAUGGGAUUCCCAAAGUUAUUAGUAGAAGGUAAACCACGAAGAAUUGAAGAAUUACAGAUGAAUGUACAAAAAGAAUUUAAUUACGUGAACCGAAAACUCAACAUUGCUAUUACAAGAAUUACAAAACCUUACGGACAUCCUAAUAUUCUUGCAGAAUUUAUAGCCGGACAAUUAAGGAAUAGAGUUUCAUUUCGCAAGGCAAUAAAAAAAGCUAUUGAAUUAACUGAACAGGCAGAUACAAAAGGAAUUCAAGUACAAAUUGCAGGGCGUAUCGACGGAAAAUAAAUUGCACGUGUCGAAUGGAUUAGAGAAGGAAGGGUUCCCCUACAAACCAUUCGAGCUAAAAUUGAUUAUUGUUCCUAUAGAGUUCGAACUAUAUAUGGGGUAUUAGGCAUCAAAAUUUGGAUAUUUGUAGACGAGGAAUAAAAUAAUAAGCCCUUCCUUGUCUUUUCUUUCGUUCUAUCCAGUAAUGUAAUGAAACAAAAAAUGACAAAUUCUUUCAUUCUUUUUCUCUUCAAUCAAAACAAAAAUGAACAAUUAGAAAUUAAUUCUAUAGGGUUGAAUAAAGAUUCGAUUGACCAUUUGAUAUAAUUGCUAUGCUUAGUGUGUGACUCGUUGGUUUUUUGUAGGAUUAGGGUUCAAAACAAAAAAUGGACCGGCCCAUACAUAGUAUGAACUCAAAAUUACAGAAUUAAUAACCAACUCAUCGCUUCACAUUAUCUAGAUCUAAACAACCAGUCAAGAUAUGAUAUAUUGGUCAUAUCAUUGUAGCAACUGAAAUCUUUUUUGCAUAAAAAAAAAAAAAAACCAAACCAAUCUGAUUAUGAGUUUGGGAAGCGAAAUCUAGAAUGAUGUGGAUAAAUGGAAGAAGGGUGAGAGAAAGAGAUAAAAAGAACGCCAAUGAUAUAUGAUUCCAAUAUAAUAUGUAAGGUCUAUGAAUCAUUUCAUAAAAAGCAGUGUAAUAAAGCAUCAAACUAAUUCCUCCCGAAUUAAAUGAAUAUGUUCAUAGAAAAAAAAUCAAGAGCCUAGAGCCAAUAAAGACUGAGAAGAUUGACUCAAGAACAGGAGCUCCAUUGUAUAAUUCAGACCUAACCAUUAAUUGAGAAGCGAUGGGAACGACGGAAACCUGUGAAUACAGAAGAUUCUAUUAAAAACGAAUCCUAAUGAUUCAUUGAGUGGGAUGGCGGAACAAACCAGGUAUCAAUUCAUUUGUUCUGAAAGAUCGUGGGCUAACCUUACAAUUGAAAUAGAUAUUGAAAGAGUAAAUGUUCGCCCGCGAAAGCUUUAUUUUACCGAAUUGCUCUAUUUUUUGAGCGAUCCGAUAUGAUAAAGACAAAACAAAAUAAAGAUUCGUUAUAGCCUUAUAUAUUAUUAUAUUUUAAAUAAAUUAUAAAUAUUAUAAAUAAAUUAUAAAUAAAAAAUUACAUUAUCUAUAAAUAUAUGUUUAGCUAUAUAUCCAAAAGCUAUAUAUAAACAAGAUAUAAAAAUUUCUAAUAGAAAUAGAUUAGAUGAAAAUUAGAUGAAAUAUCAAAGAAUCCCACGAUUCAGUGUAUUAUUCAAAAAAAUGGAAUUUUAUCUUAACUAAAUUUUUUUGAAUCAUUUCAUUCGCGAGGAGCUGGAUGAGAAGAAACUCUCAUGUCCGGUUCUGGAGUAGAGAUGGAAUUUUAAAAAGACCCAUCCACUAUAACCCCAAAAGAACCAGAUUCCGUAAACAACAUAGAGGAAGAAUGAAGGGAAUAUCUUAUCGAGGUAAUCGUAUUUGUUUCGGUAGAUACGCUCUUCAAGCACUUGAACCUGCUUGGAUCACAUCUAGACAAAUAGAAGCGGGGCGACGAGCAAUGACACGAAACGUACGCCGUGGUGGAAAAAUAUGGGUACGUAUAUUUCCAGACAAACCAGUUACAGUAAGACCUACAGAAACACGUAUGGGUUCGGGGAAAGGAUCCCCCGAAUAUUGGGUAGCUGUCGUUAAACCAGGUAGAAUACUUUAUGAAAUGGGCGGAGUAGCAGAAAAUAUAGCUAGAAAAGCUAUUUCAAUAGCGGCGUCCAAAAUGCCUAUACGAACUCAAUUCAUUAUUUCGGGAUAGGAAUAAAAGAAAAAGAGGUCUUUGGGAUGAAAAAAAAUUGCAGGUUUCUUUUUUUGAUUUUGGACAAACAAUAUUUCUUUUUUUUUCCUUCGUUCUUUGCAUUGAAAAAUCGAAUAAAAAAAUGAUAUGAUUCAACCCCAGACCCAUUUGAAUGUAGCGGACAACAGCGGGGCCCGAGAAUUGAUGUGUAUUCGAAUCAUAGGAACUAGUAAUCGCCGAUACGCUCAUAUUGGUGACGUUAUUGUUGCUGUGAUCAAAGAAGUAGUACCAAAUAUGCCUCUAGAAAGAUCAGAAGUAAUCAGAGCUGUAAUUGUACGUACCUGUAAAGAACUCAAACGUGACAACGGUAUGAUAAUACGAUAUGAUGACAAUGCUGCAGUUAUUAUUGAUCAAGAAGGAAACCCAAAAGGAACUCGAAUUUUUGGUGCGAUCGUCCGGGAAUUGAGACAGUUUCAUUUUACUAAAAUAGUUUCCUUAGCCCCUGAGGUAUUAUAAGACGAGACCAUGAUAUAGUUAUAGUAAGCGAAUGAAAUAGAUUAAUUAGUAGAUUGUGUUUCACGCAUAUACCUUUAAUUUAAUAUUAAAUAGAAUUCAUAAAUAAAAAAAUAAAAAAGAGCAUGUUGAUUAUAUCAAAAUUAGCAGGCACCAAUAAUUUGAGUUCAUCAUGGGCAGGGACACUAUUGCUGACAUAAUAACCUCUAUACGAAAUGUCGACAUGGAUAGAAAAGUAACGGUUCGAAUAGCAUCUACUAAUAUCACCGAAAACAUUGUUAAAAUACUUUUACGGGAAGGUUUUAUCGAAAACGUGAGGAAACAUCAGGAAAGCAACAAAUAUUUUUGGGUUUUAACCCUGCGACAUAGAAGGAAUAGGAAAGGAACAUAUAGAACUAUUUAAAAUUUAAAACGGAUCAGUCGACCUGGUCUACGAAUCUAUUCUAACUAUCAACGAAUUCCUAGAAUUUUAGGUGGUAUGGGGAUUGUAAUUCUUUCUACUUCUAGAGGUAUAAUGACAGACCGAGAGGCUCGCCUAGAAAGAAUUGGUGGAGAAAUUUUGUGUUAUAUAUGGUAAUCCUUCUGAUAUUCGAAUUGGAUCCGGAACUUCCUAUUUGUGAAAAAAAAAAGAGAAAGGGCGGGUUGUCUAAUAUCACUACUCCUCCAUUAAUUAAUACUUUAAGGGGGUUUUACCUGGAAUGAAAGAACAAAAAUGGAUUCAUGAAGGUUUAAUUACUGAAUCACUUCCCAACGGUAUGUUCCGGGUGCGUUUAGAUAAUGAAAAUAUGAUUCUAGGUUAUGUUUCAGGAAGGAUCCGACGUAGUUUUAUACGGAUACUACCAGGAGAUAGAGUCAAAAUUGAAGUAAGUCGUUAUGAUUCAACCAAAGGGCGUAUAAUUUAUAGAAUCCGAAACAAGGAUUCGAAUAAUUAGGGAGUUUUUUCAACUUCAACAUUCCUUUUUUCAUGGAGAUACAAUUCGAAGUUCAAAAUUUCAAGAAACUUAUUUUCUUCCAAGAAGUAGAUUCUUAAUUAAGUUAAGGUAAGGAAUAAAAAAUAUGAAAAUAAGGGCUUCUGUUCGUAAAAUUUGCGAAAAAUGUCGACUGAUCCGUAGACGGGGACGAAUUAUAGUAAUUUGUCCCAACCCGAGACAUAAACAAAGACAAGGAUAAUUUUUCUAAAAGAGAUUCUCUAAAGAACCCGAUGUACAAAUAAAAAAAAAAUCAUGUUUUGACAUGAAAUGGAUAUAUCCAUAUAUCUCUUACUCAUAUUUAUGAGAUGAUAAAAUAUGGCAAAACCUAUACCAAGAAUUGGUUCACGUAGGAAUGGACGUAUUGGUUCACGUAAGAGUGCGCGUAGAAUACCAAAGGGAGUUAUUCAUGUUCAAGCAAGUUUUAACAAUACCAUUGUGACCGUUACAGAUGUACGGGGUCGGGUGGUUUCUUGGUCCUCGGCCGGUACUUGUGGAUUCAGGGGUACAAGAAGAGGGACGCCAUUUGCUGCUCAAACCGCAGCAGGAAAUGCUAUUCGUACAGUAGUGGAUCAAGGUAUGCAACGAGCAGAAGUCAUGAUAAAGGGUCCUGGUCUCGGAAGAGAUGCAGCAUUACGAGCUAUUCGUAGAAGUGGUAUACUAUUAAGUUUCGUACGGGAUGUAACUCCUAUGCCACAUAACGGCUGUAGACCUCCUAAAAAAAGACGUGUAUAGGAAUAAACUGUGUAGAAAUAAACAUUGAAGAGAUUUCAAGAGAAAUAAAUGAUUCAAUGAUCUGAUCAAGUAAUAUUACUAUGGUUCGAGAGAAAGUAACAGUAUCUACUCGGACACUGCAGUGGAAGUGUGUUGAAUCAAGAGUAGACAAUAAGCGUCUUUGUUAUGGACGCUUUAUUCUGUCUCCACUUAUUAAAGGUCAAGCCGACACAAUAGGCAUUGCGAUGCGAAGAGCUUUGCUUGGAGAAAUAGAAGGAACAUGUAUCACACGUGCAAAAUCUGAGAAAAUACCCCAUGAAUAUUCUACCAUAGUAGGUAUUCAAGAAUCAGUACAUGAAAUUUUAAUGAAUUUGAAAGAAAUUGUAUUGAGAAGUAAUCUGUAUGGAACUCGCGGCGCGUUUAUUUGUGCCAGGGGUCCUGGAUAUGUAACUGCUCAAGACAUCAUUUCACCGCCUUCUGUGGAAAUCGUUGAUAAUACACAACAUAUAGCUAGACUGAUGGAACCGAUUGAUUUGUGUAUUGGAUUACAAAUCGAGAGGAAUCGCGGAUAUAGUAUAAAAAAAAAGGCCAAAUAACUUUCAAGACGGAAGUUAUCCUAUAGAUGCUGUAUUCAUGCCUGUUCGAAAUGCGAAUCAUAGUAUUCAUUCUUAUGGGAAUGGGAAUGAAAGACAAGAGAUACUUUUUCUCGAAAUAUGGACAAAUGGGAGUUUAACUCCUAAAGAAGCACUUCAUGAAGCCUCCCGUAAUUUGAUUGAUUUAUUUAUUCCUUUUCUACAUGCGGAAGAAGAAACUUUACAUUUAGAGUACAAUCAACACAAGGGCACUUUACCCCCUCUUACUUUUCAUGAUAGAUUGGCUAAACUAAGGAAAAACAAAAAAGAAAUAGAAUUGAAAUAUAUUUUUAUUGACCAAUUAGAAUUGCCUCCCAGGAUCUAUAAUUGCCUCAAAAGGUCCAAUAUACAUACAUUAUUAGACCUUUUGAAUAAGAGUCAAAAGGAUCUUAUUCAAAUUGAAGAUUUUCGCAUAGAAGAUGUAAAACAGUUAUUGGGCAUUCUAGAAAAACAUUUCACAAUUGAUUAACCGAAGAAUAAUAAAUAGAUUGCAUUUUUUUCAUAUUUAUUUUUUUUUUAGAAAAAAAAACUGGGUUUUGAAUCUUUAACCAAAUCCAUAUAUUCGGAAUAGAUUCAGAAUUUAAUUGAAUAGAUGUAUCUAGGGAGAAUUCACUUUGAAGCGACUAUUCCCUAGAUACACAUGCGGGAUAUUUUAUUUCACAAUUGAAUCAAUUUCCAUUUUAAAAAGACCUAAAGUUAGGGAUUUAUCAAUAGGUAAUGUUGCUCCAAUACCCAACCAAAGGGCCACUGCGGUACCAAUCAAAAAAACGGUUGUCGCUACUGGACGACGAAAUGGAUUUUGGAAUUUAUUAACAUUUUCCAAAAAAGGGAUUGAUUGUUGAAAGAAUCCUGAUUUUUCCGGUCCGCCUUUCCUUUUCUCAAAUACGUGGAAGAUACCCGCACAGCUUUAGAAUAGAAGGCACUAAAGAAAAUAGCUGGUUCUGGCUUUUUACUUGCUUACCAAAAGAGACUCUAACUGAAAGGAAAACUCAAAAUAGAGGGAAGAGCACUAACUGGAACUCCUGAGGAUUGACUGUUAGCUCAUUUUUCUCAUUUUGCUCGAUAGGUUCCUCAGAAAGAAUUACUGAGACUUUUGGUUUGAUACUAGCUUGACUAGCUGUUACUCUAAUGCUGGCUGGAAAAGGAACGAAGUCAACUCUAUUGUAAAUAGGAGGAAGGGUUACCGGAGAGCUUUCACAACCUAGCCCUAGCUCUUGUUUUACCCUGAUUGAUUGAAUUGAAAGAGACUCCCUGGUCCAGGAGACAAAGCGCAUCUUCUUCUAUAGAUAGAGGCGUUGGAUAGGGAGAGGUAACUCUUUCAUCAUCUUUUAAAUAAAGAAGUCAAAACUUUCUUUUCUAUUGGAGGAAAGACUCCAACUUAAAAAAGGGCUUAUACGGCAUACCCAUAGGACUCCUUCUUUUGUUAUGGAUGGGCUUAACCUUCACACCCAAGCUUUCAAACUCCCCAGCUCUAGCCCAUUAUCCUGUAACCUUGCCUUAAGUUAAGGAACAUCAAAGGGGACUGACCUUUCGACAAGAGAUUCGAUUUUUUUACCUUAAAAAAAAGAGAAAACCUACUGGCUCUGACUAGAAUGAAGCUCCAACUCAAAUAGAAGGUAUAGGUUUAUAGAGCAAUUACUUCCAAGUAAGAAAGGCCCGCCUAUGGGACCUCUUUUAUUCGCUCGCCUGGCCUACAAUAAAACUCAAAGCACCAUCGAAGGCAACAGUAAUUCAAACUCCAGAGGAGGCAGAAGGUGUAACUGUAACUGUAAAAUUCCUUGGCCCCAGAACCAAACCAGCUUAUGCCUUACACAAGGGAUGAAAUUGAGUAUGGUGGGGAGAGUCAAAAUGGACUUAACAAUUAUAUAUAAGGAAAGGAAACUGCCACUUGGGCAGAAAAAAAACUAUAUGCCCUUAGGAUGCCACUCUCCUUCCAUUCCAACUAGUAGGCCUUUCUCGAAAUGCAUAUGAAAAAGCAUUACAGGAAGAAGGCGUGGUAGAUAGCUUUUGUAACGCUUCAAAACAUGAGCUCACAGCAUGAGAAAGAGGGGACGAAAUUCCAUAGUGAGGUCCCAUUAUCACAAGAGGAAUUAUUUAGUGCCAUAAGCAUAUAAAAGAAUCUCGUCUUUCAUUGCUUAAGAAUAUUGAUAGACUCAAAAUAAGAAUGAAGAUGUAUAUAAUGCUGGAGAAAGCAACCUUUUAGUAUAGUAGUAUUCCAUAUAUAAGUGAAAUACCAGAGCGAUUAUUCUCCUUUAAAAAGAAUCUUAUCCCAAUCAAACCACUUUUUUUUUGACCUUAUCGGAUACUCAUUAAGAAGGAGAGUACUUCCGGUUCAAGGCUUUGACUUCAUACUCGCUUACACCCACACCCUUAGACCCCUAAAAAAGCACUUAAGACUGCUUAGAAGGAAUUAGCACUCGGUAUAAAGGAAAGGGAUAAAAAUAUACUUCUUACCUUUCAACUCCUGGCACUAGGGGGAACUACAGGUAGUGGUAUGAAGAUUAAGACUAGUUAGUAUACUGGUACACUCCGAUUGAUCCCUGGAUUCCUGCAAUGAGAAUGAUUAUAAUGAUUAUGUGACCAAGUUUUUAGGCUGAUAUCAGGAUUUGCUUUACUAUAAUCUAAGAUACACUGGAAGAUAGAAAGCAGUUUGCCCAUUCAUUGGAAUGGCUUACCCCUUACCUUAAUAACUAUCAGGGAAAAGAAAAAGAACUCACUCUUAACUUACUUAUCUUUUUUCACUUUUUAACACUAUUCGCUACUCAAUUUGAAUAGCACAAGAAUUUAAAUCGCUGGUCUGUAACCUAUUCUCUCCUAAGGAAAUUAUUACCUAAUAUGAAAAAUUGGUUCAACUAGAAAACCCAACCCCCCAAUAUAUAAAGAAAGACUUAGCACUCGCAGAAAUGAUUGAAAUUGAAGGGAAGCACGAAGGUAUAAUGAAUAUCCGCCUUUAUAUAUUGGGGGGUUGGCCUAUUAGGUAAGAGAAUGAGUCUUCAACCUGGAGACCCUGCUAUAGGUGUACCAGGGAGUACGCUUCUCCUUACACGGCAAGUGCGAAUCCACGUUAUUGGGAGCUUUUUUUUUUUUUAACUACUAUAUCUUUAUUUUGACCUCCUUUAGCCCACUAAUCCUUAGAACAAACUAACUAAGACCGUAUAGGCCCCACAGGAUGGGAUAUAUUCUGUGUAGAUUCCUUCCGACCGAGUCCCAGUAGCAGAGUCUUUGAGGCACGAAUCUAACGGCAAGGGAAUCAGCGGCUGAUCGCGAUUCAUCAGUCGCAAUUCUCCCAGCAGCUAUCCAUUUUAGUUCGACAGUCAAUGACUGAGCUGUGAUUGCAUAGGUGGUAGAGCAAGCUGGAGCGGAGGCAGUAGAGACGAAGGUGAGAGCAGAGGGGGGUAAGAGUAGGGCGCCUAGUUACAGUUCGCCCGAAGCAUCGCUAAAGGCAUAGGCAGUCAGAAAGAAAAAUCGUGGUCAAUCUUUUUCAGGCUAUCGAAUCAGCAAGGGCGUAGCGAAUAGUCAAGGCUACCCGAUAAAGGAUGGCUGGCAUUCAUCAGUAGGUGGAUCCGCCGUAGGGGUUGGUUCAGCCACUCGACGACCGGCACUUGCCAUUGAAAAACCAAUAAAAGUACUUUAUGCAGCAGGGUACCACGAUCGAACGCCACCGGAACACCCCGAUAUGAGAAAGCCAUUUCGAGUGCGGUAGAUCAACAACCCGAAUUACUACACGAAAUUUGUGAAAUUGCAAAGGGCAAGUGAACCCGGCAAAACAUAAUGCUUUGUGAAAGGUUCUUGAUCCAUUUUACAAGCCAAGGUGAUAUCAGUGCAAGGGCAAUUAUAUUAGUACGGGUUGCCAUAUAUGUCUGAAUGGAUUGGAACGAAGGGAUGAAGGAAAGGAAGGACCAAUGAAGGCAAAUACCCUAUCCCAUGGGGCUGACCUCCGACCAUCAAAGAAGGGAUUGGACUCAGGUGGGCAAGGCAGGAACUUCCGGAUUUACUUAUUUAGGAGUUUUUCCCAGCUCAAGGCACCGAUCUGACUUAUUUAGAAAGCUAGAACGGAGAGGGAACACCCGGUUUGCUGGUACAGAAUCCGUUGCUAUUGGACUUGGCAAGUAAGCCCAGAAGGAAGAAGUCGUAGCUGCUACCUUACCUUCUUCUUCUUAGUCUGCUUGAAAGGAAAGCCAGUAACUCGAGAGUCAAAAGAAAUAGAAUGUAGUAUGACAGAACCUGUAGCUUUGAGCUUGAACGUCUUUCAGCUCUUACAACCCAGCUGCUAUUGAAUCAGCGUAAGGAGAUGCCGAUGAGGGUACAAUAGAGAAAAGAAUGAGCUUUGGUUCAGAGCUUGAAUUACUUCCUUCACUUCAAAUGAAAAGGAAGGCUUGACUUUUCAAUAGGCUUUUAACAGGAUCAGACGCUCUUGCUGGACUAGCAAUUGAAUCCGUAACCUUUGCUAUUUCACUCCGGCUAUUGAAUCAACUGGUAUAGAAGAAGCCGCACAUUCAUCCGGUGUGCUAGAAUCAAUGGCAGAGAAUGCGCUGUGAGGAAGAAAAGGCCUCUUUGGCAACUAUUGAAUACGGUCUUUGAGAAUCUACUGCUAUUUAUUGAAGGAAUUACCGGGACGAAGCCAAUCACACAUUUCUACUUUCGACCAGGUAAAGAUAUCCACAUCUGAGGAAGAGCAGGGAUAAUCGUAGACUAAGAAGAGAGGACGCAAACACAUUCAUUGAAUUGGACAACUUUCUUAACAAGAAGCGGUUAGCCGUACUCAGUUCCAGGCACGCUUUCCUGAUUCGUGAACAGGGGAUGAGAAUGUCAAACCUUUUCUUGCAAACACCUCUUCUUCUAUCCCAAUAGUUGGACAAGCCAAGAAAGGGGGAAAGAAAAGUUCGUGGUAAAAUAAAGGACAGUCGAACCUGAAAGGCCAGAAAGUGAUUGACCUACUAGUAGGUAUAACGAGGAGAAAAGGUAUCCCAUUUCUAGCAAUGAUAAUAAGGCCUAUCCCAGUAAGAGAUAGAUUCCCUAAAAAGGAGGAAUAAUGGCUUUUGAGAACUACUCUCUAUAAUAGGCUUGCUUCUCCUUAUGGCUAAAUGAAAAUGUAGAUUGGAAGCUCGUGAGUUCCACUCCAGGAAGUUUUUCUUUAGGAUCUUCAGAAAGUGAGUAGUAAGCUACUGGCUGUAGACAGGGCUAAGUUUGAAGUUCUAAAAAGACCAUUACUACUGUGUCUAACGGAGAUAGCAGUUCUACGAAUAAGGGUGUCUUCCAGUCCUCCCGUAUUUUUGUAAUAGAGGGGUGAAGUGAGGAAGGGAUAUAGUUUCAGGUCCAGGCGAGCUUACUUCAAUGGCAGGCCAGUAGCUUCGUCCAUUUACAGCCGAGCGAGCAAAUAGGGUUCUUCAGGCGAGUUGCUUUCCAUGUAUUUCUAACCUAUCUAUCUUAAUAGCUCUUUAGGAUAUAGCCCUUUUUUUAUUGCUUGCCAUAUUUCCACCUGCACUUUGAGACCUGAGGAACAAAGUUAGCUAUAGAUGGAUCGCUGCCCCCUCGUUAUGAGAAUGAAUCCUUCCCGGGACAGGAUUUCACUCCAAAGAGAAACUAAGGGGGCUCCUUUGCUUUAUAACCAUAGAGCGCAAUAGACCUGGCACAUCACAAGUCAUCUAACUUAAAAAAGAAGGGCAUGUGCCUCAGGUUUGCUUUCUUCAAAUAUUUCCCUCUUCACGGGUGGACGCCAGCUAUAAUGGUUGAUUGAAAUCCUCGCUCGCAUGUAACCGUUAUACAGUGCGGGUUUGAUGCCUAGCGCUUUACUUUAACUAUUUCUUUUUCCAUGACGUUGAUUACCCACUGCCCUCCUUCAUGCCUCUUUGCAUCUAUUCUUACUAUUUCCAUUGUCCUAUCUUGCUUCCUAUUCUCCGGUCGGCGAAUCGGCUGGUUGGACUGAUUUUUCUUGGUUAUUCGGGAAACGUAAUGCUAACAGUUCAAACUCCCUCUUCUAGUAAGCGAAGCAAGAGGUUCCUUACCAACAGCUAUGAUGUGAGAGCUUUCGCUUCUCAGUUUCCCUCCCCCACGAAAUGCGGCUACUGUUUUCCCAAAGUCCUUUGUUGUAGAGGCGGAAUCUCUUCAAUCGUUUACGCCAGAAAGACUCUUUCUAUUUUGCGUAUAUAAGGGAGACUGGUCUUUAUCGUCUCACUCCAGCCCGUAGUCAAUUAAAGUGCUUCUUUCUCUCUGGCAGUUCUCCAUUCAGCUAGCUGCUAAAAAAAGCGCUCAUUGAUAUAUGUAUCAAGUAGAGAUUUCUUUUUUGUUCCGAAGUAUCCCACUUCUUUUGAUAAGAGUGUGACCCACCUUGAAAGGAUGGUGUGAAAUACGACACAUUCCUCCUCGUCUGGGGUUGGGGAGACAAAGCCGAGGAUCGAAAGGAAGAAAAAUAGGAAAGAAAAGGAUCGAGAGAAAGAGUAAGCAGCGACGGAAGAAGACUUUGCCGGCAGUCGUUCCGAAGUCAAGGAACUUCUUGCAUUGCACAUGGGUAAGUCCAGUAGAAAUUCCCUUUUGCAUGUCCAUCCAUCUGAGAUCAGAAAAGGAUUUCGAACUCUCUUGGGACUAAGUGAAGACAGUCACGUCACUUGCUUGAGACGGAGCUGGAAAGAAAGCGGGAAUUAGCUCAAGGGAAGGGGGAGUGGUGAGGAGGGCCCCCUCUCCUUAUCACGGAAGUCACAAAACAAAAGAUGAGACUCACCAUGACAAAGGCCUGCCUCAUCUCUAAAGAGUCCACCGGCGCCAGCAAAAUCAGGAUUACUGUUUUGCUCGCUCCGUCUGUAUUAAGCUUAACCCAGCCUUGCGGGGGAAACGACCAACCCACCAGCUGCUGUACUUUCGUUGGUUUUUUCACCAUGUUUUCCUCCAACUUCAUGGCAUCCGAAACCUCCUUCACAUAACCCAAAAUUGCUGAAACUGGGUCCUUCGGCGAUACGAAGUCAUUAUCAAACACCAAUUUAUUUCGCCAAAACCAGAGCUUCCACACCGCAACUCCAAACACUAACGGCCAUUCAUACUCUCCUUACUCCCAGUUGCUUCUUCAAAUUAUGUAAAAUUAUGCAUGAGCCAUUCGGAACUACUCCAGUUUAAAAAAUCUCUCUUCACAUUCGGACACAACAAAGCUUCCCAGACUUUUUUUGCUAACCUGCAGUCACGCAACACAUGAAGGCAUUAUUCGACUUUAUUCAGGCAUCGAACACAAUUCGGCGAAGCUGCUAUAUGUCUUUUGAAGUGAUUUUCAUUUGUCAGCAACUUGUUGUGCAAAGCCAGCCACAAAAAGGAUCUAAUCCUUUGGGGACCCCUUCAUUUCCACAGGGCCAUCCAAUUCUUAUUCAGUUCUGUCCAGCAGCUCUCUUCAAUCAGUUCGUAAGCCGACUUGGUCGUGAAACAUCCAUUCGGAGAACGACCCCACACAACAACAUCACGCUGGGCUGCUCUGUUGGGAGGAUUGAUCGCUGCAAUUUUGAGGCAUGUAUUCGCUGGCAAGACGUGCACAAAAUCUUGCCACAACCAUUGCCCAUCUUCAUCCACAUACUCGGCUACCUUUCGAAGAAAAUGAACAUCAGAGACUGCGGCUGUAGCUUUCUUGAUUAAAGGUCUCUCAUUUUCGACCCAGCUAUCUAACCAAAAUCGAACUGAUUUGCCAUUACCAAUAACCCAUGUUAAUCCUCUGAGUAGGUUAGGCCAAACGCCACAAAUUCCUUUCGAUAGUGCCGACGAAUCCCUCGUAGCUUUCAUCUUAGAAAGAAGUUCAUUGGAAUUUCAGAUAUUUGCUUCGCAGCACCGAAGCCAAAAAACUAUCCGGAUCAUUCAUCAAACCCCAACCAAGUUUCAUGAGGAAAGCGUCAUUCAUCGCUGCCAUUCGCCUUAAACCGAGCCCACCAUGGAUUUUUGGCUAACAAAGCGGAUGCCAACCGACCAAAUGGACUUUCCGCUGAUCAUCCGAGUCCCCCCCAUAUAAAACUCUUGCAAAGACUCUCUAUGCUUUCACAAGUCCCUGUCGGAAGUUUAGCCGAUUGCAUAGUAUAUGUUGGCAACGCAGAAAUCACCGAUUGACAUAGAGUAAUUCUUCCAGCAAGAGAGAGUUGAUAAACCUUCCAUCCUGCUAGUCCCCCCUUGAUCUUCUCGACAAUAUGAUAAUAAGUCUUCUUUGUAACCCGUGUAUGCAGCAGAGGAACCCCAAGCUAAUUGCCCAAAUUAUGGGUAAGUGAAAAAAAACCACUCUCCUUGCUGAUAUCCUGGGUUGCGGCUUGAGAAACAUUCUUCGAACAGAAAAUACGAGUUUUGGCCGAACUAAUCUUCUGACCCGAAGAGGCACAGACAUUAUUUAGACAAUCCAAGAUCACUCUGAUUUGAUUUACCGACGCUUCCGCAAAGAGUACAAGAUCAUCCGCAAAUAGAAGAUGCGAUAAUGCAGGGCCAUUUCGACCAAUUCGGAUCGGCUUCCAUUUACCAUUUCCAACUUUAACAUUAAUUAAAUGCGCCAAUCUUUCAAGACACAAAACAAAAAUGUAAGGCGAUAGUGGAUCACCCUGUCGGACCCCUCUAGAUGGCUUGAACUCCUCUGUAGCUUCCCCAUUCCAUAAUACCUGCAUGGACGCGGAGCAUAUAUAUAUAUAUUUCAUAAUAACAUCAAUCAUACCUAUAGGUAAUCCAACCUCCACCAAAAUGAAAAAAAUCCCAUCGAAGUCUAUCAUAGGCCUUCUCGAGGUCCACUUUGAUAGCCAUCAAACCCUUCUUCUUAUCUUCUAGAGUGAGCUAAUUUUCUUACGUUAGAUGGUCGGCUUUCGUCUUCAGUUCAAGUAGAGCUUGAGUCUUUCCUAGGUCCUAGUUCAAGUCGAGUUUGACUCCUAUUCUGAGAAGAAAUCAGAAGUAGCCUUCAAUGGUGAGGCCCGCCCCUACUAUUGGUCUAGUGGGGUGAGCGUAGGGAGAGUGGGAAAGGGGCUCCCUGCGCUUUUAGAGGAGACCCACAGGGAACGAGCGAAAGACUUGUAGAGGUAGAGAGAGGGUUAGAGCGGAUGGAGCGAGCUCCCUAAAGGACCAGACCAUUUCAUCCCUCUACUUGAAGUCGAGUUACUUCGUCCCUUACUUUCCAGUGACUUUCAUCCCUGGUCCUAUCGGACCAGCUACUUCAUCCCUGGAACGAUAGCUAGAGAAGUAGAGAGCUAGAGGGGAGGAGGUUGCUCGUAGAUCAACUCGACCGGAGCGUAAGAGCUACGUUUACGAAGCGAAAGCUAUAGGAAGGAAGGAGCUCAAGACUUGGAGCGAGUAAAGAGAGGUUGAGAGGAAGUGAAGCUGAUAAGUGAUAAAGUAAGCAACUCUGAAACGAUAGAGUUCUCACUAGAGCUGAACUAAGGUCUGGAAGGAAAUUCUCCUAACCGUUGGACUACAAAGGCAAAGGCUUAGACAAAGGCAUGGACUCAGGCUCUGGACAGAAAGGCCUUUUAUCCAGUCUUUCACUAAUCAUUCGAUAGGAGAGAAACUUUCUUUCGAAAGUGGAUCCGCCUAAAAAGAUAAGGUAUGUAACUCCCCUCGGACUAUCGGGAGAGUUGAACGUAGUCCAUCCUUGCGGUACAAGAAAUUAAGUCCAUACUCAAGUCAAGAGCUCUAAGGCAAAAUGAAUUGUGUAGAUAGAUGUCCCAUAUAGCCCAUACUCCCCGGGGUCGGGAACGAAAGCUUUCUUAUGUGGGCAGAGACCUCAGGAUCGACCAUAACUGAAGGAUCCUCUGGUUCGACAUUCUAUCUCUCUGGGUGCUCUUACAAUCUAAGACAUUUGUUUUCAUUCCCCCGGUGGGUGGAUUGUCUGGGCCAGCCGAUAUCUCUUCAUUCGGACCAGGAGAGAGAAAGUAAGCGUUUUUAACCAUUCUGCCUUCAAGAGCCUUUAUUGGGACAUCGCCAGGCCAGGCGACAUCUAAGGAAGAUUGACCACCGUCGAUUCCUAGAUGCUUUGAAUAGCUAUCUUUCGUACCGUCGAUUGAAGACUAGGCGUCGAAUGUCCUCUUUGGAUCUUUGAUAGAAGAAGCUGCUUACUCGGAUUCAUGCCCAUAAAGAGUAGAAGAUUCAGCGCAAGUGCAAGAACAGGUUUCACAGUUAAGAAAGGUAGAGAUUCAUCCCCUGUUCUUGUUCGAGAAUCCGCAUCAAUAGAUGAGAGGAUUGAGCUUCCAACAGCCUACGAGUGCAAACAGUCAAUUUCCCAUCAUUUGCACUGGGAAUGGAAAUGAAAAAGGAAUUUCUAGAUCUAGAAUCAGAUGAAUGUGCAACAGUCAAUUUCCUCCCUCACAGCCUAGUUGUCCACUAGAAGCAGCCUUUUUUACUAUACGCUAUUUGGCCUGAAAAGAAAGAACCUAUCCGUCGCAAACAAUGAAAAGACUGUCUUUUUGUCAAAAAUGUAAUUUUCGGAUAUCCUAAGAGCCUAGUCUUGCAAACGAGAUGAGACGGAUGGACUACGAAGAGAAAGGGCACUAAUCUCAUUCAUGGGCAGAAGUUCCUUGUCCAAUUUAAACUACUGAAGAAGUAGCGAUUCCCUGCACUCCGAAGAGUAGCCUUCCAUUAAGAGCCUCUCUUUCAGGCUUUUCUGUGGGAAGACUUGAAGCUGUUGGCAUUCCCCUAUGCAGAGACAGUUUUAGCAAUAGCUAGAUUCUCAAGCUCUGAUUCACUUGCACCCCUUCUUCUUGAAAUGGCAUUAGCUGCUCCUUCUAUGGCAUCCUCUUAGACUAUUUCUAUUCCAUCAAAGAUCCAAGCAGGGGAUUCUGUAAGAACAAGACAAGACCGCUUACGCCGACAUAAGAUAUGUCACUUCCACUUCCUUUAGGAGAUGCUUUGAAGAGACAAAAGAGAAGGCUUAUAGAAAAAAUGGAUCCUUUUGAUGCCGCAGAUCGUCUUUUGCAUUCGAUGCUUCCUGUACUGAUACUGAUACCUGCCAUCCAUAUCCAUACGUGCCUGCUACUGGUGCAUGAAUCCGAUUCGGGGAUAUCGUAUCUUCUUUUCUUUCUUAUGCUUAUGUUGGCAUAUUUUAAUAUGAAUUAGCCAUAUCGGAAAUACCCGGCAAGCUCCGCAUCUAGGAUUCUGUCAGAACACCCGGCGAAAGGCGAUCCUUAAUAGCCUAAUUUUCGAUUCAAUCUGGUAUUCCAGAAUAGCCUAAGGGGCGUAGCGGUAAGAUCAAUUUCUUUUGACUCUUUCGAGAAGGGGAGAAGAAUAUCACAAGUUGAGGAGAUUUUUUUAAAAGAAAAUCCUGAUCUUUUCUAUCUGCUUGAAGUAAAAAGGCUUCUGGCAACGAUUGAACCAGGUCGCAGGGAACUUUAUAAUCUGGGGAUAUCGUAGUCAAGGUAAAGUAGCCAAGCGCUCAGUUAGAACAAAAUUAGUACUACUCUAACGACUAUGGACAGGCUCCUUCCUCAUUAACAGAAACUGGACUCGUACUAGACGAAAGAUAAGCCGGCAGGCAAGAGAUAAGAAAAAAGGGUGAAAUAGCAGACUAAGCCACUCUUACUACCUGUAUUCCUACCGGCAUAGGAAAUCCAUUAACUAUAAAAGAUAUCACAAUAGGAAAAGCAGGGAGAUAGAAUAGGAGUAAGAUAGUGUAGGACUUAAAGGCUGAACUCUUCUUUCCUGCUAUUAUAGCAGCGUUACAGAAUGAAUGGUCAAUCCAUUUCCCCGCUCCUUAAUCCGGUCUUAGAGAAGAAGGCCAAGGCCGUCGAAAGCCUCUUUGAGACAAAUCCGCUAAUUCUGUAAGAGUGUAGCCCAGCCAACUUCUCAAGGGAAGGAACUUCUUUCCCAUUUCCAUUUACAAAAGCGCUAGACCCCUGGUCCUUUACUUUAAUCAACAAGGCUGCUUUCCCUGCUAACCCUUCUGGGGGAUACGGUAAGCACGUCCAGUGUAGUUCCAGUGUAGUUUACCUAUAUAUUGGGAUCCAGUUACAGUAUAAGACGGGAGCCUGCUUAGUGGAAACAAAAGGGCAAGCCGACUCUUUGGCUCAAGCCCUGGAGAGGCUUUUGUCUGCUUCAUCGACAGAUGCGGUUUUGAUCGAGCAAAAUGACAUCCAGCCUGAUGUGAGAGAAAGAGCAGUGGAUGAGUGAUUCCCAGAUGAGGACACGGCCUGAUUGAGAAGGACUUUCAACUAACUCAAAGUGAUGGAACAAGACAGUACCGACGGGCUUUGAGCUAGCAGAUAAGGGAGAGACUUUCUUUUCCUUCAUUGACCCGGAUCUAAAUUAAGUCAAGUGGUUAUAAUUUUAAAUCUCUCUCGACGCUUAGGAAUUGAGUUCCCGGACUCACUGAGUGAGAACUGCCCGGUUCUGGGCCUCCUGUGGCACCAACUGGUAAACGAAGGAGAGAAUCAUACGUGACACCGGACUGGACUAUCAUCCGAUGAGGCAAAAGGAACAUCUCAAGUAGAUGAGAAAGGUCAGCGACAGCGGACGCUACUCUAACAUCAUUCUAUAGCUUCAAAGCAAGAGGCCUUGACAGAGAUCAGGGCACAAUGGACUUCGAUUUUCGGUGUUACACCUAACCUAAUAAAAGGAGUUUGUGGGAAAGGGCUACGGGGGUUGUCCAAUCAUGGGUCUCAGAACCAGCGAUGAAAGCAAUGGGAGAAUCAAAUUAAGAACAAGUAGAAGGAUUGGACUUUGUGAACCAGUGGGAGAUCGUAUCGGUGCUAUGUUGUUAGGAGGUCGUAAACAAAGGGCUAAGAGCCUUAAGCCCGUCCAAGAGAAAGAAAGAUAUUCGGUUCUGCAAUGAUGCGUCUUUUCAAACCAAAGAAAAGACAACCCAUAAACCAGCCUUACUGACCGGACCUAGGCUUGACCAAAGAUUAGUAGAUUCCCUUGUGGAGUAAUGUUCUCCAUAAUGCCAAGGUUGAUGAAAGUCUUCUCUCACGCCUAGAUAGGAAUGGGAAAGCACACCCGCGAUUCAAUCAAACAUCAGCGCUGCCACUUGAAUAGGAUUGGUUCAUCUCAUACCUUCCCGCUACACCGCCCCCAUUCAGUGGUUCCCUGCCCGACCCAAUCUUAUGGAAUCUUCCUUCUUGUCUCCAAAGGGCUUGCCUUACCCUGCCAUGCAAGCGAUUCAAUCAAACCAGUAGGAAGUAGUGGUCGCUUUUUAUGCAACCGAAGAUGUAAGGAUCAGUGAUGGACACAGCGAAAUUAGGAUAAGCAACAAAAGAGACGGCUCCAUUUGCCAGAGAUGGCUGUACUCUUGCGAUGAUAGCAUCGUCGAAGGUAUUCCACCGACGAUCUAGGACACAAAGAAUGCUGCCAGUCUUUACGCCGACCCUAGUAAAUGGUAAAUGGGAGGACGGCAACCUGUAUUGCUUUCAUUGCGACGAUAGAAUAAUAAUUCAAUGGAGGACUUCCUGUGCCAAUCAUUCAAGUGGUGAUCUGGCAUCGUGAGCAGAAGUCGAUAGAGGAACGAGGCAGCCGAGGUAGGCUACUAACUUGCUCGUUAGAAGUAGUUAACGAACGGAAAUAAGGCCAUUCGAUGUCUAUAAGUGAAGAUUGGAUGGAUGCCCGCUCCUUGGGUAUGCUUUCAAAAGGGCUGUUUUCAUGCGUGCUGGUGUUCGUGGUCUCUUGGUUUUUCUGUUCUCGUGGGGGAAGGCGGGUUAGAGCAGCACUGCUCUUUUUUAUUUAGCAACUGCCGCGCUGCUUAUUGAGGAUAUUCUUGACUUUCUUUCCGCUGUAGCUUAGUUCUGGAUAGAUGGGUUGGGUUAACACAAAAGUACGCCCACGCUCUGAGAGUGACCCGACCUUGGCACGUUCCUUCACUCAGCAAUAGCGCCCCUACUCUUAACAAGUACGCUUCCCGCUUACUCUAAUUCCCAAGCUGGAAACAUCCAGUUGCUUAUUAUAGGAUAGGAUGCACUUCCCGACCGGUGAAAGGAAACAGCGAGAUCUCCUUUCCUGUAGGCUUCUCCUGUGCUUAGUUCACCUAGCAGGGAAAGAAGCGGAGCCGUGCAAGUAACAUCGUGAGCGUGAACAGAGGUUAUCAAGAGUUAGCUUGGGAACAUGCCAAGCCCUUAGCCUUAGUUGGAAGCUAAACCAAAGCUAAGCUUGUAGGCUCGUAGAGAAAGCUAUUGUGCAGGUAUACCCACAAUCCAUGUUCCUGAACAGUCUCGUUCGAACAUCUGAUUCACCUUAGGGCGGACACUUCACUUCAAGCUUAAACCUCCGUCUAUGAUCGGCUUGCUUUCUCGGUAUCGUGAGUCUAAACUCUUUAAGCCGGCUAACUAAUAGAUAGAGAUAUAGCUCAGUAAACACGGGAAUCACUAUCGCCUUCGGCUUAAACACGGCUACGCUUCGCUCUUUUUAACUAUCGCUAGUCUGUAGUCUGUGAAAGAAGAUUGCAAUUUCUGGUCACUUUCAGUCUAACCCGGAUUUACUUAGUUAGUCGGGACUUGCUUCUUAGCGUGUAGUGGAUCAACCAGGCUAGCUUUCCUGUAGUAGAGCGCGGGGAGAGUGACCAUCAGGGCCUUGAAUAGGGUGUGCCUUUUUUUUCUGUACAUUUUUUAUGAGGAGUACUCUUGAAUGUACUAUACAGUAGGUUCUCAGUGCCCUAAGAUCCCAAUCCCAGAUCGAGUUCCAAUCGCAGAAUUGUUCUCAAGCGAAUGGCUUUUACUCAACCUCAAUUCAUUCAGUUAGGACCUCCCUUUAUGUCAUUUCUUUCCUUGCCAGCGUGAGGAGUCAGAUCGGAUUCUAGCACUUGCAUGGAAUCUGGGAUAGUGGCUAUUGGCAGCCUCUCUUGGCAUGAGCACUAGCAUCUUGCUAACAUCGGCUUUUUCCUCCGACUAGAAGGGGAUCUUGUUCACGGCGGAUUCAAUCUCCUCAAAUGUGGCUUUGGCUUCAGCUAUCUCAUUCGUUCUUUUUUAUCUUUUGAUUGGUAAGUAGCCCUUUUCGGGUUAGUUGAAAGACCAAGAAUGGCCUCUUUGAAAGAAGACGACAGACAUGCUGGGAAGGAAAAGGAAGGAGAUGUGGCCUAAGUAGGUACAACAAAAGGUACUAGUAUGGGCGCAAUAUGCGAUUGGAAGCUCUUCUUUGGCAGGUUUCAUGAUUUGCUAAUCCGAUCUUGUAAGUUGGCUUAUCUUAGGCCACCGACUGAGACGAUGGCUUGAAACCCGGGUAGAAAUAAGACCAAUCGAAAACCUUGGAAGCAACAAAUCGCGGGGCGUAAGCUGUUGAAUAAGCUGUGGGUCUUGAGGCAGAUGUGGCAUCUUCUGAACCACCGUAGUUAGGGGGAAAAAGCUCAUCUUUUUUCAAUGCAACCAGAGGGCUCUUAGUACGCUAACGCUACUACCUGCCCAGUAAGAGGAUGUUUUUUGGUUUAUGUCGUCCAAAGAAAGGGCUUCCCUAUCAGCACAAAGAAGAAAUUCAAUAAGAGAGGAUUGGAUUUCAUCAAGAAAAGACAAAAACCGCAUUGAGUGGGGCCUGCCCUAAAAUUCCCCUUACAGAGCUUCUCUAUCAAGAGCUGCUAGUUGGUGGUUGAGGAGUAAUAGGUUCCGCAUAAGCUACAUUUCGUGGGGGAGGCACCUAUCCAGUACUUCCGAACUCGUCUUUCAUCUACAGACAUUGGGUCGCUAAAGCCAAUAGUUCGGUGUCCGGGCAACAGCCACUCAUCUUUGGUUGCAGCUUCGGCUGAAGCCUAUGCUUUCAGUUCAGUUCCAUUCCUUGGUUCUCCGGUUGAUUGCCCAGCCCGCGUCACACCUUAAAAAGCUUUGGAACGGCAGUUUCACUUACUUCUCACGGACAUUGGACCUUCUUCAAACUGGCCUUUGAACUUUAGCAAAGAGUCUAUUGGAUAGAACGGGGAGCUAUUUGCUAAUCGAGGGCUUCACUUCCCUGCUCUGGUUCAAGACUAGCUAGGUAUCCUCCUCAGUAUCGUUACCACGCUAGCUUGAAUAGUCUCAGAGCUUGGCUACGAUUGCCUCGAAGGAAUGCAGAGCUGUCUUAUAGUAGCGAGCACUCCCCUUAUGAACCUUAAACCAGAGGACAGAAAGAAAGCAAAAGGAGAAGGAAGAGAAGGGACUAAUAGAUGUUAUCCUACUAGCAGUGACUAGAAGGAAGGGAGCCAAGUCACUAACUAGAGGAAGGGUCUACGAUUGCCGGGUCGUGUUCGUGAACCUAUAAAGAACUUUUAGAAUUGCUUACACUCCUCGGAAAUUACUGAAAGACUGGCCUACGACCCCUCACAGAAAAAGGGUCUCUGCUUAAAGGAAUUUCAGAUAAGUCUUUGGGCGUACUUUGACGAGGGGUGACAACUCCUUCUUUCUAUUCUAUAGAAGUGCCAAUAGCCAAUAAAAGAGAAAAAAUCUAUAUAUUAAAAUAGAGGGAUUCUUAGUCUAGUCUAGCGCGUAGUUUCAAAGAAUUAAAUUAAGAGAAUCCGCGAUCUAUGCCUUACGAACGUCAACCACCUCUUUAAGGUCUUCAGUAGUUAGGGGGCGCGGAGCCACUGUUAUCUCCUCUUAGCGAGUAUGGUACCCACUCCUCUUAUUGGCUGGGGAUGUACACAGCAGUCGAAGCAACGUAUAAUAAGCGUCGAUCGCGAUACGCCUUCGAUCACCCGGAUAGAUUGAGUCAAGUAAUGGCAGCCACUGAGAGCUUACCUUAACUGGCAUGACAUUUAAAGAAGGCUACGUCUAGACCUGAAGAAUCCCUGAGUCUUCCGGUCGAGGCAUAUUAUCUAAGCGACUCUCCUAGUGCUUAGUGGGCCAAGUGUAUUUUCUUUUAGUUAAUCUACCCGUUUUACGGCCGGUUUCUUAUUAUCCUUCGCUUGUAGCGACUGAAUCUUGUUUCCGAUACAGCACCAUUGAUUGGUCUAUUGGCAAAGGAAACCCGGGAAUUAAAGAUUUUGUUCUGUCCGGAGGACAUUUAUUAUGCUGUCACUACUGCUUGUCAAUUUUAAUUGCAUCAAAGCUCUCGUUCGAACUUCAUCUACGAGAAUUCUAAACAAGAACUCGAGACUUGAAAUGAAUCCAAGUGGAGGUUCUUUCUCAGGGCGUAAGGAAUAGCACGCAAAAGACAGCCUGGAAAGACAAAGACAGGAUUUCUUAAUAAAAGGUGGAUGAGCGGUAAUGGCUGGGGAAGGGGGCAAGUACAUCCUUUUGUUCUCAGUUCGUGGGAAUUGCUUCCAUCACUAACCAGUUCAGCUCGGCUGGUGGGCUUUUGUGUUCUAACCUCGAAUCCGGACCUGUUCGACAAGACCUGAUCCAUCAACAAACCUAGGUCCAAUAUUUGCUUGUACGAGCUAGCCAUCAACAGACGGACAUCCUUUUACCGCAGCCUUCCCCUAUUGGGCAUAGCCUUUUCUCCGUUAGGCUCCUGUAAGGGCGGGUAUGAGAAGGGUCCCCCUCUCCCUUGUCAAAGCUUAGUUAUCCGUGAAUGAGAACUCGUUUUGCUUGUUGGCUGGUAGCUCCAUGGUUGGUUAGCUCGAAAGCGAGUUUUGACUCUUUGAUCGUCGAGGAAUAAAGGUGUGAUUACCUGAGGUGAGGUUGACCUUCUUUCUGCCUUAGAAGAGGUCUAGUUUAGGUCAGUGCUCUAUUUUUCUAGAAAAUAUCUUUUUUGAGGCAAUACCUAUGAACUUAGCUCGGACUGAAUCCGCAUCCGCCUCUGUAGCUCUUCUAUAAGAGCGGACCUUUUUCCAGUCCUAUUCUUUCCUCUUAAGUUCCUUUUGGAACACCUCAUGUUGGGACGUCUGCACCUCUUUCUAUUUUGAGACGACCACAGGUUCCACCAAUCCUGCUCUAUCCAGUUUGAGGUCGUCUGAACCUGAUACCCUGCUCCAGAUUCAACUCUGCUCCUACAUCAAAUCCUUCCUCCUCCGUAGUUCACGUUCAUAGAGGGAGACUUCCCAAACGAAGACUCCAGGUCACUGAAACGAACACAAGGCUUUAGCAAGCCACCCAAUGUAGGACGAAUUACCUCCCAUCCGUUCUAGCUACUCCACACUGGCCUUAAAAGCGCCUACUUUUCUUUCUUCACAGAGAUGUAGAAAGUUUGAUUGAAUUGCGUAUAGAAAGAGAGACAUGCUUUUUUUUGUAAACAGGGGACAUAGACCCUUCCUCGGAGACUUGCCCCCAUUGAUUAGCCCGACCCAAUUCCAAUUCAAGUUCUUAUUCACUGGAAAUGCUUCCUUUACUGGAGCUGGUAAUGGAAAUGCUGAAGUUUUAGCUUGUGUUUUCCUGUCUUCUCUGCCUUGCCCACUCCACCUUAUUUGCUGGAGGGAGGAUACGAUUGUCGAAGCUGAAGUCCCAUUCAAUUCAUAUAACUUCGCCUACUACCCUCUUACUCGCACGCCUACCAACUAGAAUGAGGACAGUCAGACUAACCCAAAAAAAGAAAUCACUAUCACUCGAGAAACCGGCCCCUUUUUCUGUCUUUCUUGCUUGAUUCGUCUUUCAUCUCUGUGUCUUAUCCGGAUGGAAUGUAUACUAUCUCCCUAUCGGACUAAGGGUUUUGAUCGAAUAUUCCUCUCUCUACCUGAAUUCAAUCAGUAAGAAAAAAAAUAUGGAAUAAAGAGUUUCAUUCCAUAAAACAUGUUCCACAGGGCACCUGUUCAAUAAAUCAGGAAAAAGCGAAGCGCUUACAGAGAGAGACCGACCUCCGUAGUUGACUCUGAAUCCUAGGCUAAGGAAAGGGGAAGCGGGUUUAGUCAAGAAGUAGGCGUGGGUAGGGGGUAAGUGUCAAUCUCAUCUUUCUUUUUUUGCAUUACGCGGUUCAGCACUCUCCCUUCACCUUGAACCACAGCGCUACUGUGAUUGACAGACAUGAGACCCCUAUCGAUGGAUCGGAUCAAACCCCUUCUGCUGCCUGAUACCAAAGGCGCCGAAGAAAGCUUGUGGAUGAAGUCCGCCGUCCCGAGCGAAAGGAUCGAUAGUUUGACUUGAGUGGUCCCCCCUUCGUUCGAGUGAAACCUAGGAAAAAUCAAAUGAAUUACACCAGCUAGGACCACUAGGCCGAGAAAGAUGCCAUCUUGUAGUAACCCUUUUAUAUCUAACUCUGUUUCCGGGAAGUAAGCUAUCUUGGGUUAUUCUUUUAUGAAUGAGUCUCUUUCCCGCUAGCCGGAGCUAAGAUUUGAAUGCUCUUUUUACCAUUCCUCCUAUCCCGUAUUCAAUCACGAAAGCCAGCUGACAAAGAGGCAAGGGCUAGUCAUACCAUUCUCUAACAAAGAGAAAAAGGAAAGAGCUCUACGACUGAAACAAGAAUCACAGCCGGAAUGGAAAUAAUCGAACUUAAAGUUUUUCCUCCACCUCAAAGAAUCUUCCCUAGCCCUAAAGAAAAUGGCAAGAGUCUUUACUAUUUUAGCUCAAUCUUUCUCUUGCUCAUGCUCCAAUCUGAUGGUGUUAGAACCUUGGGGCUACCUAUCUUGAAGCCAAUCCAUUCUGGAAUGCGCGCACAACACAUGUUGAAAUUCCACCUUUUCAGAUACAAGGUGGUUUGGUCUUUUCUUAUAUAAGAAAGAUUCUCCCUUAGAGCUGCAUUGCAUGGUUUUCAUGUGGUUAGUUAUUAGGUGGAGAAACUGAGUGUGGGAAAGCUUUUCCGAGAAAGUCAUUCAUUCUCUGGCUUGAAAUGACUACUUCAAAUUUAGGUUCUUUCCAUUCUCACUCACUGGAGAAGCAUUGGCAACUUACCCGCAAAUCAAAUUCAUAAUUGGGAAUAGAUGGACUCUCUCUAGGACCUAUUUUACUGACAGGAUUGAUCACCACUUUAGCUACUUUAGCGGCUCGGCCAGUUACUCGGGAUUCCCGAUUAUUACAUUUUCUGAUGUUAGCAAUGUAUAGUGGUCAAAUAGGAUUUUUUUCUUCUCAAGAUCUUUUACUUUUUUUCAUCCUGCGGGAGUUAGAAUGAAUUCCCCUUUAUCUACUUCUAUCCAUGUAGGGGAGAAAGAAAGAAAGAUCUGUAUUCAGCAUUUUAUGAGCUUUACAGGCCCGUUGAAGUCCCCGAAAAAAGGGGAAAAAUGGGGCUAUAAGUAGGCCGUUUGCUAUUGCUAUAAGGGCUGCUCGCCUUUAUACGGCUUGGCUUCGCUAUCGCUCAUGACUUGUAUUGUGGUCGGCCUAAAGACUAGUAUUCCUACCAUACCAGAAUGCCUAUUAUCUAGUGCUAGAAGCUUCGCCAGAAGCAAGCAAGACGAGGUCGCUCUGCUUCGUAGACAAGGCUCGUUCCGUACUUGACUUACGAGCUCGUGUAGUACUCGCCCCUCUCUCUAAAGGGGCUUAUGCACUCCACUCGCUGUCUACUAAACGAGCGUUAGAGCGAGCGAGCGAAGCCUUCAAUUUAGUGGCUUCCCCCCUUUUCCCUCACCCUACUCUUUCAUUUCCGCUUAAGCUUCCCCGGUUUGGUUGGUUUGGGGGAUUAAUUGAUUGGAUACCCGAGAACCAUAAUCUUUCCUAGGAACAGCUUCUACGACGAUAGAUAGGGGUCAGGUUUGUUUGGCAUCUAUGCCCCCUGCCCUCCAAACAGUAUGGGAGCCUUUCAGCUCGUACUGCUCACACUCCUAGAUCUUCACGGCACCUCCUCCACCAUAGUGUGAGCUGGGAGCAGCUCCGAAAAGCGAGGCCUACUUUAAAAUUAGCUUUCAACAACGUCAACAACACCACGAAAAAAGUAAACUAUGGUUGCCCACUGAUCUGAUCAUAGGUGAAAUCCAAUCCCUUCGCUUCGCGCCAGGCUUGGAAACCGUAAGUCAGGCUCCCUUCGCCUCUCGGAAGCGAGAAAGCGAGCAGCCCUCUGAAGAUCUACGAGCAACCUGAUUUACAAUCAGCCUGCCUAAGAUCGUAGGGGAGCACCCUGAUCGUUCCGACCACUUCUGAUCAAAGAUCAGCCUGAUCUACGACCACCCUGAUCGUAGAGCACUUCUGAUCUUCAAUCAGCCUGCCUAAGAUCGUAGUAGAGCACCCUGAUUUACAAUCAGCCUGAUCUACGAGCACUUCUGAUCAAAGAUCAGCCUGAUCUACGACCACCCUUUCCCCUUUCUCUAAUAAUAAGGGCGUUAAGCAUAGCUCCAACCUAUACAAGGGGCAAGCCAAAACCAGCGGAAGGCUUGGCUUGAAAGCUUACCUUAUUAUUAUUCAAAGGGGAGCUUCUUCUUUUUAUUAUUCUCAUUUUUAUACUAAAAAACAAGGUGCUUAACGCCCUACUCCCCAACAACUACAAGGGUGCUUGCUUGCUGGCAUCAAAGCCCUUCAUUAUUAUUAGUAAGAUGGGGCGGAGGGCGCACAACCCCUUCUCUGCUCCUUUCCUGAGCCUUUCCCUGAUCUACGACCACCCUGCCCGCCCUUCUCUAUUUUGAGGGAUCCCUCAUAUUGAGGAUUCCAGGCUUCCCGGACUCGUAACAGACGGCUAGGAACAAAAAGAGGGUCAGUAGUCUCUGCCGUUGCAGGUCCUUCUCCUUCCGCUGAGACGGCCCUUUUUCUUUUUUGUUUUGUUUGUUCACCGCGGCACGAAAGAAUGAAGAAGCUGGAAUAACUCAGAAAGAGAGUGGCGCCUAGCCGUUGAGAGCGUCUGUUGUCUUUGUAGAGGAACAGUACGAUCUUGGACUGGCCCUCUUCGCAUGACCUAGAAAGAAAAAGAAGUCCGUGCUACUAUAAGGCCUCUAAACUCCUCCCUCAGGACACUGUUGCGUUGCCCAUGGGGACGGGGUAGCCCCGACUUCCAUAGGUCCUUGGUUCGACCUCCUAAUGAGAAUUGAGGUCCUUGCGCGGGCGUCUCAUCCCUAAGACUUGCUUGCUCUUUAUGGAGUGCCCCGUGGUUCCUCGAGUGCCAGCCGCAGAGAGGAAUGUCAUCAACUAGGGCGCUAUUGGCCACUAACCACUCGCUCGCCGGCCGCUCGGGCUCCGCGUUUCAAGUUCGUUAUCCUAACCGUCUCCUCUGCUCCACCGGGAGCCUGGCCCCUUCUUCUAUCUUAUCUACUGCCUUGCUCCUCGGCUCCCUACAGCUCCAGCCGCUCGCUGUAAUAGCUUGCUUCUCGGGUGGCUCGCACCCCGGGUGGUGCGGCUGAGCCAGAGUGGGCUCAGCAGUCGGCCUAUGUUUCCGGGCGCACGCGUAGAGGCAUGAUUAGUUCCACGAAUCUCACUGCACUGACCAUAGUAAACUCCUUCUCGUUGUACCGAAAUAGAGGUCUGAUUUGAACGACCAGGUACAGCAUCACAUUUGACACCUGAGGAAGGUACAGCCCAACUAUGAGGUACAUCAGCAGGUGUUACAAUAAUACGUAGAUUAGUUUUGGCUGGUACAACCACUCUAUUGUCCACUUCUAAUAAACGUGAUUGACCCAAUUCUGGAUCAUCUUCUGGAAUCGUAUAACUGUCAAAAGUGAGUGACUCUUCAUCGGAACUGUUAUAGUCCGAAUACUCAUAAGGUUGGGUCGACGCCCGCCUCCCCCCAAACUGUACUUGCAAGUUUCCCCGCAAAAAGCUCUCCACGCCUACUCUUAGAAAGAGCACUCUUUUUUCUUUAGUUAGGGUAGUUCUCCCGACCGUAAGACCCUUUAUGAGUAAGGGGAAUCGAAGGCCGGGGAAAGUUUAUUGGCUACAGGGGACCCUUUUUCACCCAGCCCUACCUACCCUACCCUAUGUAUUCGAGGGGGAGGCUGGAACCGAAAAAGACCUGGUUCCACACACAUGAGACACGCAGAAGGUAUGGGGCGACCAGUUCACCACGGAAAGCAAAUUAGAUCCUAUCCUAUAGUUGUCUUCUUUGUUCGAUAAAUGCGCAGUGGAAAGGGAUGCUAGCCGGCUCGGCGAAGUUGUAGGCCCCAAUAGAUCAGAUUCAGAGUGAUUCCUCACCUAUCCUGUCAGGGGCCCAGUUGAACGCUCGAGUAUAGAUUCCCUAUGCUCAUGUGAACGGCCGGGGCCGGCCGGCCCGUAGAUCUAAAAGGAUCCAUCCAUAGGCCUGACCGGAUAUCGUUUGUCCACGAACAAAACAAAAAAAAAACAAAGUAGGUUUUUAGUAGUAGUUCAUGAGACCUCGAAUUCCCACGUUCCAGCGUGCAUUAUGCCAACAGGUCCCACCCCCAACUCUAGCUGAGAAGUUGAGUCACCCUUCUUUUUUUUUUUCGUUGCAGCAAGUAAGUUGCGAGGCGCUCCAGACCUGUUCGGGCGUGAACUGAGCUUCCAACAAUAAGAUCCUACUACUGCUCAUUCCAGCGGACGGGACGCUUUCCCAGUUUCACGUACUUUUAUUUUUUAUCACCAGAAUGCAUGUGAAAAUCAACUAACCGGCCGGUGGGUGAUUCUGGUUCUAUCUCCGCUUGAUCCCAGUUUCCAUUCCCCUUUCUUCAGGAGGCGAGGUUCGGGUCGGAGGGACGGGGCGAAGCGCUCCGUUGUUCACCGCUAAUUUAUAGUACAAGUCUAUCAGAAGUGCUUUCGGUUUUGUUUUAGUAUGGUCCAGAUCGUCGGAGCCCGGAGCCAGGUGAUACCGCGAUGGAUUGAGCGGGGCGGGGAGGUGCGAGCUUCCACUCGAAAGCCUUUCGGUCACUCGCAUUAGGGCAUUCCGAUCGCUUCUCAUACUACUCCCUCGCCCCUGACUGGAAAGGAGACAUACGACAUAGUUAGUCGGCCCUAUUCAUUCCAUUCCUGAAAGGAGCAAGCUGAAAAAGCCCUUUCCCCUUUCUCUAAUAAUAAGGGCGUUAAGCAACCGGCUCAUCUUUCUUUUUUCAGAAAAAGAAUAGAAUAAAGAAAGAUAGAGUCUAUAUCCUGUAUCGAUCAUAGGAUCACUCUAUGAAUAGGUCGAUUCUCUGUGACCUCCCACCGUUCACGACAUCCCUUGCUUCUCGCUGCGAACGGCUCCUCGGUGGAGGAGUAGAAGCGCUGGUCCCCUUCGGUCAAGUUACUUAACUGCUGUUACCUACCGUAGGACCUCCGUCCCCGAAGCGAAGAAAGAGGAGCAGGAACAACAGGUUGUCCUCUCCCGGCCCAGUAGUUCCGCAACUACUACCGUGGUUGUUGCCAACGGGGAUCCCCCAUUCCGAAAGGUUACUGGGCCGGCCGUUAGGUCCAAAGUUGUAUGCCACUGCUAUGGUGCCGAUAGAUUCACUACUUCAGCGCCGUUAUCGGACAUUGCAGGCUGAGCAUCUAUUUCUCGUAUAUCGCUCCACACCGAGAAGAGGGAUGUGUACCUCCAGCAACAACAAGAAUGGAACCAUAGGCUCCUAUGCUGGGAGCAUUUCGGGGUAUAGGUCUAACCACCUCAACUCCCCGUUUCUGGCAUGCUAUAGUUAUUAAAGUCUCUCGACGACGGGAAUGGGAGAUUACCGGUAAGCCAGAUGCUUCGCGAACCAUAUUCCACUUUAAGGCAUUUCGUUGCACUUAAAUCACCCUCGUGAAGAGGCGCACUCCGAUACCAUUGAUGUCCAAUAGCUUUGAUAGUAAUGGCAGGAUCUACUACUACCUCGUCCAUUGAGUAUAAGAGAACAAAUGAUGGUAUAGCAAUGAACAUCGGGAUGAUACUAGGAAAUAUGGUCCGAAGAAUCUCGAUAGUAGUUCCAUGAACAAUUCUUUGCGGGAUUGGAUUUUUUUUAUAGUGGAAAUGCCAUAAAGCGCGAACCAAGAUCCGUGAUACGAAAACCAAAAUGAGAAUGAGGAAGAAAAAGAUAUCGUGAUGUAAGUCCAUUACUCCUUGCAUUAUAGGUGUUGCUGCGUCUUGAGAUCCUAAUUGCCAUGGUUCCGCUGCAUCACAAGGAGCAAUUGUGAGGAAUAGCCAUUCUAGAACAAUCAUUUGGUUUGGUUCAUUCUUUGACUGCUCUGCUCCCCCCCAAAAAAAGAGAGACUUGUCGGAAAUAGCCGGUUGGGUUGGUCCGACCAAGAAAGGCAUGGGAGUCUUUGGGCAUUGCUUGGGCGCUUGGGCCGAGUUAAGUAAAGACUGGCUACCUACUGAUCGUAGACCACUAAGAUCUACGAGCACCCUCACUGCACACUUUUUAUAUCUCUGUCUCCCGGCUGCAUGCUCUAGUUAUGAAUCGGAGAUAGAACAAUGGGGAGGUUACAAUUCCGAAUCCACUAUUACAGUAAUUUCUUUUUGAUGUCGAAACGGUCUUUAUCUUUUUUUUGGGCAAUGACUUUCUAAUAUAUUGGGCCUAUCCCCUUCCUUAUUUAUAUACAUUCUUUAUAUACAUUCUUUUUGUACUAGCUUAUCCGGUGCAGUUUAUGACACAUGAGAAAGGAUUCCAUCGCCUAAACGGCUCUAUUUGGGUACGUCCUUUAACGGCCGAGCCCGAACAGCAACGGGAGAGGAAGGCUCUAUGUCCAUGAGGUCUCGAGCCGCUUUUUAAUCGCCCCUUUAUCCGGUCUUGCGAACUCCUUGCUUUUUUGAAAGCAUAUCUAUAAAACAUUCCGAUUCCAGAACUAGGCUGGGUCAAAUACUAUACUAAACGUUCGGCUAGGAAUGAAGAAGCCGUAAAGCCCCUCGACACCCAUAGAGGGAGAUUUUAGCAUAAAGAACGAUAUUGAUGAUCCAAAACUUUUUUAAUUUAAAGAAGCAGCUGAUCUACGACCACCCUUCUCAUUCUUCAGAGUCCGCUAAUCGGAGAACUCAUAUAUAUAUUACCGAUGAAGGGAUUAAACCGGUAACCCUCUCUGAAAAAGAUGUUAAAUGUUUGCUUGUUUUUAAGCGCUGUUGGGCACAGUAGGAGUCGAUCUUUGCAAAUCGCCAUAAAGUUGCUUGGAAGUUUCCAUCUCUCUGUCCCUAUCUCCAUUUAGAUUAGAGCGAAGAAGUACCUAUUGGUCAAGCCAGCUCCCCUUUAUCUAUCUUCCCCAAUUUAGCAGGCAGGAUCGAAGGGGGUCGUUCCCUUCUCCUUAUGAGAUCUUUCAGAAUAUCUCCUACAUAUAGUACCAUAUGAGUGACCAUUGGGAUGAUCGUCCCCGUUUCAAGUAGAACCGAUUCCCCUUCGCAGCCUCCGUGGGCGCCCGAUCAAAUCACCUGCUAGACUGGCCUCCAAGCUCGAUCUCUAUGUAGCUAUGAGAGACUUUCCAUCCGCUUUACCCGUCUACAUUUCCGAAAGGUAAGGCCUGGUUAAGAAAGAGAGUAAUACCUACGUUUCGGAUACGCCUAACCCAACCACAUGAAUAUACUAGGGCACAGGAACCCAACAAUUGGUUGAUCGCUCUCCCGCUUCUGCGAGGUUUAUAAAACAAAAUAACCCUUCCACUUAUCUAUUUCCAAAUCAAUGCUUACGAUUUGAAUAGCCGAACCUUCCAUUCCAAAGAAAAGAGUAGAUAGGUGCGGAUAAGGCAGAUAGGGAAAGGGCUUUCUAUUUAUAUAAGAAGCCUGUUGUUUGGCCUGGCUCUUCUAGUAGUACUAAUGGGCGCACUUUAGAACAAGAUCAAAGUAGGCUUCCCUCAUUCUAUCUAAUUAAUACGGAAUGCCCCCUCUUUCUUAUAGGAAAGACUUUAUUCAAUAAACAGAACCGCCUUUCUUUGUAUUUCGUAUACCAACCUCCGGGGAUUGAUUGGUGGAGCAUCCCCUUUUAGGUCUUUCCAGAUUCGGGAUCUCGUUUUGAAGCAUAGAGAAAAUGAGCAUGGAGAAGAGGAGCCCGCCCCUCAUCCGGUUUGUGGCGUUCUCUCCUGGUCUCGGCCAGCCGACCGGAAGAGCGUUUACCUCCGGCGACCACUUCCGGAAACUCAGUUUCACGUCCCCUAAAGACACACAGGCCAGAGAACAAAGUUUUUCACCAGCUCUAGAAUGAAGCCCAACGAGCACUCCACUGUUAUGUCCCACCGGGAUCCAAUUACCAGAUUGGUUUACACCCUCUUUCUCCAGCAAGCCUUUAACCGAUUCCCACAGAGUGGCACCGAGCUGCCCUCCGACUUACACCAGAUCGCAGAGGACCAGACCCCAAGCGCUCCUAUAUGGGAGCCACCGUAGAAAGUUUUGAUGGAGUUUGACCCAAGCUUCUCAUCGAUUUCACCUCCCACAGCGGUGAAUAGCUCUGUCGGAGCAAGAGCAUUAACUCCAAGGGUCUCCGCCCUACAAACAGAAGUGGAGUGUCUCAGGUCUUUAGAGGUGGGGGCUUUAGAAGGGAUGGUGGGGUCCCUUAAAGGGUCAGGCAACAAGGAAGAGGCCGAACCAGAUACUUCCCCAUUUCCAAUGACACUGUGCAGAGCCCUAGCCAGAGCUAGCCAGCCGGCUCCGUUAAAGCCCCUAGGGAUUACUAAAACCAUAUUUUGACUAUACGGAGAAUAAAUAUUCAGUCAUUACAAGAUACAAGCCUUUAACAUUCUUCUUGAGAUCUAUAAUUCUAGUCCUGCCUGCUACUACAGAUUUCCUCCAAAAUGGAUUCUCCACAUUGUGUUCUGCCGCCAGAAAAAGGCUCUCUGCCAACCAAGCUCCAGCCUCCAUUGGAAGAUACAUUUUUUGCUGAAAUAAUAUACCCACCUCGAUUAGCAACAGCCAUACAGUCCUCCCUUUCCGAACAUGCUCCAUCUCGAAGGUUUUGGCCUCAAUCACAAUAGAUACAGCCAUGGUUAAACAAGAAUAAACACACCAGAGCAGAAGAUAUUUGAAGAACAGGAUACAUCUAACUAAAACAGAGCACAGCCAUCCUAAGCCAUCAGUAAACCCAUCGAAACAGAUCUAUGAAACCAGUGUGAAAAACACAGAACAGACCCCUGCCGGAGGUCAUGGCUUUCCGGACACUAUGUGGAAACUUCUUGCUUUUUGUUGGGUAAUUUGGAAAGAGAGGAAUUGGCAGAUUUUUCAAUAAAAGGAGUCGCUAGAAUCACUCAAACAUAGUAUGUCAAUUUCAUUUUGAAUAGCUCAAACUUACAAACUCACAAAAAUAUAAAAGAUUGCAAUUUCAAGGUUUAAGCUAAAAAAAAAGAAACAUUCCUAAACACAUCUUGUAUUCCAAUUGUUCAAAAAUAGCAAAAAGGUAAAUAAAACACAUCUUUCUAAAAAACCAAUCACUCCACACGUGGCCUUUUGCCACGUGCAACCUCCUGACGCCUUUGUUCUCGAGUUGAAGUGGACGAUUCCUUGACUCAGGUCUCGGGGAGGCAAGCUUGAUGUCGCAAAUGAAGGCCGUGCAGUAAUGUGUGAAACAUGGUCAUCAUGAAGUAAGCAAGACUCUCUAUUCUCGAUGGCUUCUGUGUCGUUCUCAAAAUUAUCAUCAUCAGCAAAAGCAUCCCAUUUCUGAUAUAGCCCCUCAUAAUCUUCCCUGUAUCGCGACAACAUUCGAUGAUUAUAGUUAACAUAUACCAAAGAUUCUGCACGAUCUACAUUCAUCUUCUUUCUCUUUACACUAUGAAUGUACGCAUAGGUACUCCAUGCUCUCUCUGCACAUGAGGUGUUUACAAAAAGUGAUAACACUUUCACUGCCAAACUGUAAAGUUCAACAGCUGUAACUCCAUAUAAAUCCCACCAUGAUAUUGCAUAUAAUGUUUCUCUAUCUUUGAUUGCUUGAGGACGAGCAACCUAAACGCCCUUCUUACUGACAAAGUCACUAAGUUGCGCCUCUAUAAGUAAGGGCUCAUUUUUGCUCCCUUGGAUCCCAAACAAUUUGGUCCACCACAUCUAAGUAAACAUCAUUAACAUGAAGAUCAACAUGAGGCUUCCUCCUCUCCCCCCCUGGACCCAAACUCCUCAACCAGAAGAAGAAAACACUAAUAGAAGUAGUUGGUGAAGUGCUUAAUCCAGAGAUAGGAGACUGAUGCCUUACGUCGACAAAGGAUAUAGUGAUGGAUUCAUUCGAUUGCCAUUAAGAUCGAUCAGCCGGAAAGGAAGCCGUGAAGAAGCAGUCGAGUGUUCCCCAGCAGCAGCAGAAUAAAUAGGAGAUCGUUCCCCCGACCUGCCUCAGCCUCGUGAUUCUGUUGUGGGCGGGGAAUCCACUAUUGAAAGUGUCAGUGGUCCACUUUUCAGCAUUAGACAGAUUCUCAUUCGUUCAGAAUAGCCCUAGUUCGCCGAUGACUAGCUAUCCCUAGCUCUAUAGUAGCGGAUCGAAACCUCUAUCCCACCCAGCACGGGAACUGCUGAAAUGUCCCUCUCCGGCUUUGAAAGGAAUGAAGCAAAUACGGGUCAUGAAUGCCUUCCUCCCUUCCUUUACCUCUGCCUGGUUCUUUCCCUCGUUCUCUUGUCCGGGCCCUAUCUGAUCCAAUAGUCGAUUCAAUACCCCACCCUCGCUUUAGUCGCUCAACUGCCAACCCGACCCUGCCGCCGAUUCGGGAGAGCGAGAUAGUGGGCCGAAUAGCAGAAAGAGUGAUCAGCUAUCGGUUGGUUCAUCGAGCCUUCCACCCGAAAGAAAGGAAAGAACGGAUGAUUUUCUCUCUGCCCGAAGGCAUAAGGGCUUGGACCACCACCGACCCAUCUCGUUGAAGAAGUCGAGUAACCGAACGAUCCAUCCUCUGAUCCAAUCAAUCUCAUAUCACCUGCCUUUGCAGAAGGGAUACGACCACCACCCAUCCUGUAUAGCCGGGGAGCAAGAUUGAACGAGGCCUUCGGCUGGCAUCUCUUCUUCAUCCAUCGCCGUCGCACCUACCCGCUUCAGUCGAGUUGGCCAGCAUGAGGAAUUCUAUAAUAGAUGGAUUGCCAGAAUUAUCAGUCGAGUAACCCCUAUCCUCGACACGAGAUACAAAGAUAUUCGACCUGCCCGCGCAUCAAUCACUCGCCGGGAAUCUCAAUAUUAAUGGCUCUUGAAUCCGAUUGUGGUGGGUUCAGUCGGGUGGCAAGUCAAUUGAAAGAAAGAAAUGAAAAGCAUCGACCUUUGAAUCGAUCUAAACUUACCAUUCUAUAGAUGGAUAUCGACCGGAUGAUGAAAUGAGUCUAUCCCCUCACCUGCCCCUGCUUCAAUUGCUACUUUUGGAAUGCCUGGUCAACGUUCAACCCCUUCAUCCCUCACCGAUGCAGUAUUCGAAUAGAUCGAUCGCCUUCCCUCGGCAGAUUUCAUAACAUCGUCGUACUCGACAGGUUCCUCUCCAUCUCCUGCUGCUGUGGUUGGAUAGGCCGAUCUUUCCUUCUCUCUCCCGCCUGACCGAGAGGAAGUGUUCCGUUUCCAACCCUACCUUUCGAUCGACUGUCAUUUAUGGGAUUCGAUGCCCUCGACGAUGCUCUUCAAUACAGAUCUAUUCGACCUGCUGCCCCACCUGAUGCUCAUUUGACCCUACCUUCUUUUCCCUACCUUGCUACUGGCAGGCUUGGUCAAGCGAGCGAUAUAAGUUUUGGUGACCCGAGGAGCACGUCGAUUGAUCGGCUGUGGUCGACUAUAGAUAAAAAGUCUGAUUUCGGUUGAUGUUCCGCUAUGGCUUCGGGUGGGAUGGAGAGCCAGCCUUCCCUUGACCGGCUUCCCUCACUAGAUAUGGUGGGAUUGGAUCUCCUAUCUGAUAAGAGGGGUUGGCCAGAAGAGAAGGAAGAAAAGCAAGUGAAAGAAAUAAAGGUUGAGAAAUCCCUCCAUCCGAUCCCUAUCUUUUAUGCCGAUCUCAGCAAGCAGUACCGGAAACUGAUGAACCAUACUAGAUGAUCGAACCGGCCCUCGGCGAAGAGAAGUCGUGGGUGAGCGUUUGAGUCCCCAGCAUUAGAUCCUCCUGCUGCAGUUGAGUCCGCCUAUAUUCCCGAAUCCCUAUCAUCCAUCCGGCGAAAAAAUCUAACUUUUCUCGCCCAAAAGGGCGAGUCACUAAAGUCCCUCUCCCGGCAAUAUAGAUGGUGGUUGCAUCGAUCCCAGCUCCUAUCCGAAAAAAGGUAUAUGGUUUCUCAAUACGUUCCACCCUCUCCUCAUUCGGAGACUACUGCUUGUCCUCCUUCUCCAGGGGUUCGAUGCCAGCUAUCCCGCUGAUGGAAGAAUCCCACCUAAUCUAAGAUUUUCCUGCUCGAUCAAUAUUUCAGUUAUGGCCUUAUCAAUGUUUAAUUGAGAAAGAAAUUCAAGGGCGUUAUAUCAAAUCAUCUUAUAUAAUACGGAUUAACGAUCGCGGAAAAGAUACGCAAGAAAGAGACACUGAAAGAUAGGAGGUAUAAGGGCUAUCUGUAUGCCUAGGUCCUAGUAGAGAUCCAACUCCGUGUUGGUCAGAAAUCUCACCCUAUCUAUCCCCGUCCCCGGUCUCCGGCAAUGAACCUUGCUUUUAGAGGUGAACAAUUUAAGGAAGGGAAGAGAAUCGGCACAUUGCCCUUGCCCCCCGGGUUUGGGCUGGGAAUAAUAGUGAAUUUCUUUCUCAAGACGCCCAUUGAUAGGGCGAUUUCUCAAGACGCAUCGCCAUCCCCACCCUGGGCUUAUAAUAGCUGGCAUUGAUUUCUCUUUUAAGCCAUUGAGUUGGGGAUAAAUCGACGUCAGGGGAAGUGUUGUUGGGAAUAAGCUAUAUUGAUUGAGAUUUAGAUUAUAUAUAUUUUAUGCUCCUGGUUAUGACUCAAGAGGCUCAAAAGCUGAGGACUCAAUCUCGAUCUGUAGUUGGAUCUGCUCCCUUCGUUGCGGGGCAAUGGAUGAAUCUGGAGAUCUAUCUCGAUAAAGAUCUAAAACGAAUGCGAGAAGAUGAAGGAAUGGGAACGAAAUCCUUAUAGGGGACUAGUUAACUGGUGGAGUCAGUCAACGGGUGAAACUGAAACUGGAAAAGACGCUGGUUCAAGGUCAUUAGUCCGGUCAACAAGCUAUCGAUCUGUAACUGGACGAAGUCAAGAAUAAAUGGGCUAUCUGUUAUAAAGUCCGGAACGAUGGUUCUCUGACUCAGUAAUUCUUUUGUUUCACAAAAUGAGUUAUAUAGGGCGAGUCGACUUUCACUCUGAUAGGGCAAUUCAUUCUACUAUAACCAAGUGGGUUUGGCAAAGCCAAAAUAUGUGACAGGAAAGGUCGUUCAGAGAAUAUAGAAUAUGGAGAGUAUAGAGAUUUCAGCUUUUCUGCCUAGCUCUACAGAAAUGGAAAGCCCUAUGCAGCAGUUUAUGAUUUUCAACCUAACAGGGACAGACAGAGGCAUUGACAUAUCCAAAUAGUUUGUUUUGUCUUCUUUCCCUUUGAGCAGAUCAGAGCUGAUGACAAGAGAGAAACCAGUUGAUUAAAUUAGGGUGCCCGGGGCAUGCGCUCUAACUUUGAUAGUUGCACGAAAAAGGGUAAAGCCCGACUCAACUUAACGCAAGGGCUCGUUGCAGACCAGACCUCUAUUAGGGCUAGGGCGUAAAGCAUGGAAUUCUGCCUAACUAAGUUUGAUCGGGCCUUAAAGCCUAUCCUUAAAAGGAUAGCCCUCGCUUCGCCUGUUUAGGACACAACAAGGCCUCUUUUUGGAAUGGUGUGCUUUCAUUUCAUUUAUGGGGAUUUCACUUACUUAUAAGUAGGGAGAAGCGCUAACAGUCAAGCCUGACGCUUCUUCACUUUGGUUGGCAUCAUACAAGCUACCCGCGGUUCAAUCAGGCUUCGAAUACACAGAUGUAGGAGUAUGCCCUUUUUUGCCUUGGAGUGGGCCUAAAGAGAGUCUUGAAAUCUAAAUAAAAGACGACAGGAGAUCGAGCCACAAACAAGACAAAUCGCAGAAGCAGUUCUAAUCUAAGACACUCGACCAGGAGCUUCUACGCGGAUUAGACACCCACCUAGCCUACCUGGUUCCCAGUUCCUAAAGGGGGCUUUGUCUGCUGUCUUGCUCUGAGUAGAGUAGGGUCGGCCAGCAUGCUAGGCAUUGGAAAAGGAGACCGACCUUCUGUACCAUAUCCUGUUCCCAGACCCAUUAUAUAGAAUCGAAGUGUAAUGGCCCUGAUAGAGAAGAAGGAUAAAAAAAAGAGUAAGAAAGAGUAAGCCAAGCAGUAACUAAUCAUGCUAGAUGUGAAAGACUAGGAGUGGAGAUCCAUUUGGGGAUACAAGGGCCCGACUUAAUCUCAAAAGAAAAGAGAGUACUCGCGAACGCCUCCUGCGUGUAAGGCUUAGCUUCCCGAUUCACCAUUUAACUCCUCUUGCCAGUCCGUCUUUUCUAAGCGCAUAAGACAACUGUAGCAGAGAUCGGCUAAGCCAUAGCGCCGGUUCUAUUCGAAUGCAGGGUCUAUGGAAGAGGAUAGUUCCGGAUAAUUGGCCUUGGGGCUUUUCAUCCAUAAUGAUAUGGAAGGGGUCCUCCAUCACAAGAAAGAAAGCAUGUCGCCUCUGCCUGGCCCUUCUCCCUAUUAUUCUCCGUGGUCAAGCCGAAAGCUUCUCUCCCCUUUCAGUCGAGGUUUGACAGCUCCUCGGGAGUGGACCUCUUUUUUAGAGACCCGAUCCCGUUAGUAUGGUAUAUGAGAUCGCAAAUCCAAAUUUUGGAAUGAAAAAAAAGCAUUUAUAUUAGCAUGGCUGGUUGUCCAGUCCACCCAAUAUAAGCCGGCACCGUCUCUCCCUAUUGGUUGAGCAGGCAGGCAUUUCUUAUUAUCUCCUUACCCGCCGAGCAAGCAUCCCAAUUGGAUAAAACCUAUAUUAACAAGCUAUUCAAUCCCUUUCAAAGAUAUGGCUGCUGCAAGCAAGAUCGCUACGUAGCUGCGUGCGCUACAGCUAGGAAACAAGCUAGCCUCACUCAAUCAUGAAGCCUAGCUCGCCUCAGAGGCACUUCGCGAAGCGACCGAAGAUAGCAUGUGACAUCAAUCACUCAAGCCAAGCUGAGGUGUUGAUCCCGCUUCAACAAGACUCGACAAGCAAAGGCAUGAACUACAACACACAGCAAGCAGAUCGCUACGCUACUUCACUACGGAAUGAGCUACGACUGAUGACCGGCACAGUCUUCGCCAAGCAAGAUGAUGUAACUCCUCAAAACAUAAAAAGAGCUCUUAUAUAUGCAGAAACAUGAUAUAUGUGUAAAUGAAUUAUAGCCAUUUUCAAAUAGAUCAGGAUCGUCGGAUGUCUGAAAUGGAAAGUCAAUUUUUCUAUAUGUAUGUAGAUAUCUAUAGGGGAUCAUAUGAAGGGGAUGUUAUUAUUUUAGAUAUAACCAAUUCCCCUCUCUACGCCCACUAAGAUCUGCGAUCAGCCCUCAACAAAGUUGAUCGUAGAGCACUUCUGAUCUUCAAUCAGCCUGCCUAAGAUCGUAGUAGAGCACCCUGAUUUACAAUCAGCCUGAUCUACGAGCACUUCUGAUCUUCGAUCAGCCUGAUCUACGACCACCCUC
RNAcentral lists this long non-coding RNA (82724 nucleotides) under Vitis vinifera (wine grape). The record is from RNAcentral. Lineage: Eukaryota; Viridiplantae; Streptophyta; Magnoliopsida; Vitales; Vitaceae.